RNAcentral lists this long non-coding RNA (49698 nucleotides) under Coffea arabica (coffee). RNAcentral describes it as "long non-coding RNA (CARA_LNC003494)". Lineage: Eukaryota; Viridiplantae; Streptophyta; Magnoliopsida; Gentianales; Rubiaceae. The record is from RNAcentral.
GUACGGAGGCAAGGUUGGUGGUGAAGGGUUGCCUACUUGACCUUCACUUGCCCUUAAUAGUUGGGUAAGAUAAUGUAUAUCUUGCACUACUCCUAAUUUUUAUUAGAUUCCCAUAAUGCAUUUACACUUUUUGUACGGAAUUGGAAACAAGAAAAUCUGGAAAUGGAAAUAGGAAAAUUGAAAUUUCAUAAAUAGUGUAUUACUCUUGAAAAUUUUAUAAAUUAGAUUACUUUUCAUUGAUUAAAAAAGAUAAUAAAAUGAUUGUUAGUUGACUAAAUCAUCCUUGUAACAAUGUUUAUUUUAUUAAAUUGUAAUAUGCACUUUGCUGUACACAAAUGUAUGUGCAUAUACAAGUGCUAGCACGUGCAUAAAGGGUAAUUUCAUAAUCUUACUUACAUAAUAAAUUAUUUUAUCAUUUAAGAAUAAUUACCUAUAUCCCAUUUACAUAUUUGUCAAAAGUUAUAUCCUACUUAUAAAUUUCAAUUCUUUCUAUUCCAUUUUUUCAAAAUUUCCAAAACUUAACCACUGGGAUUUCUUUGACAUUAUCCUAAGUUUUCACAGCUACUUGCCGUUGUUCAAAAACUAAGGGGUCCAAAUGAAAAAUUAUCCGUAGCAAACAUAAAGAAUAUGUAACGAAAAAAUGAAGGAAUAAUUUUAGAAACGUCCCCAUGGAUUUCUAACAGUUUCAUUAUCAUCCCCUAAAGUUUUAAAAAUAUUACUAACCUCCCUUGAAACUUAUAUCCUUGUAACAAUUUACCCCAAUUCAAAAGAACAGCAAUAAGCAAAUGAUUUUAGGAGUGAUAAGAUCAUUUGAUUCCAAAAGUACCCCUUGCCUAUGAUAAUAGUUAAUUUACUUAUUCAAUCUAACUUAUUAUUUCAAUUACAGGGUCGUUAUUACACAUGAUUAAUAAAAAAUUUUCAUCAUUUGCAACUAAAAAGUAACAACUUUCGAAAUUUAACAAACGAAAAGUACUACUGUCCUUUUUUAAUGCCAAAUUUAUUUUUCUAAUGUAAUCAAAUUAUGGUUAAUUUAGUUUGUAAACAGCCCAAUUAUUUUUCAUGUUUGAAUCCUUUUAUUCAUCAAGUACAUCAUAUAUAACUCCUUUUAUCUGUCAAAUACAUUAAUAAAAAAACUGCACGUAGCAUUAGUUCCCUUUUCAUAUAGCAAAUACGUAGCAUUAGUUCACUUUCAUAUAGCAAAUUAGUUGUUUUUUAAAUUUCAAAUUAUGGUCAAUUUAAUUAAAAUGUUUUGAUUGUUUUUCUCCACAAAUAUGCACAAAAUAUCUUAAGUUGUAAAGAUAGCCGAGUCAUUUUAACCCCAAUGAUGUGAGCAUUGGGUCCCAAAUUAAUGAUAGAGAAGGUAAGUGAUUAUUUUUAAAACUUUGGGGGAGAGAAUUGAAAUUAUUAGACAUAUUAGGGUAGAUUUCUAAAAUUAUCCAAAAAUAAAAGGGUUAAAAAAGAAAGAAAAUAAAAUAAAAGGUUGAAUGUCGGUUGUAAGAGGGUUAAACAUCCCUAUCAGUAGUGCUGAUUCAGUGAAGUUUCUGGUUGAUGCCAUGAUCUCAAUUUCCUCUUACUACUGCUCAAGAAUCUUCCCUAAAACUCUGCUCAACCUUAAAAAUACCAAAAAACCUACUUCCCCAUUGCCCUGCUCAUCACUCCUAAAGCAACUACUCUCUCCAUCGUCAACUCCUGUUCUUCAGGUUCGAGCAAUGGCUGAUUCUGCUGCUGUUUCUUCCCCUUUCAAGAAAAUCCAAAUUCAAAGGGAUGACACUGUAAGUUUAAUUUCUGAUGCGUAAUUAAUUUUAAGGAUUUUGAUGAAAUGCUUGGUGUGCUCUUUGUAUAUUCCUGUAAUUUUUUGUGGGAUUUGUGAAAGUGCUGAAAAUGUUGAUGACCCUGCAAGUUUGAAUUUUGGUGCAGGAUUGAUUUUUAAGGUUUUGAUGAAAUUGCUUUAUGGGCUUGUACUAUAGUCUUGUAAUUUUUUUUUGUGGGAUUUGAGAAAUGUCGAUGAAAAGAAUCAUAUGAAGCGUUAAAGCUGAAAAAGAUUCUUGCUUUUUGCCUAAGCUAGAAAGAUUCUUGAUGCUUCUAUUGUUCAUAUUUGAUGAAUUAUUUGAUUGUGGCAAUUAUUAAGAUGUUUGAGGACAAUAUUAUUAUCUGUGUCAAAAUUAGUUUUUGAAAUACCAGCCAACAGAUUAAAAGUGAAAAAAAAAGGUCCUCCAUUUUGUUGUAAGCAAUGUUGGAGAAAAGUUAAAAUGGUUGUGCAUAAUCUUUCUUUUUGCAGUCAAUUUUCUGGUAUAAUGGCUUAGGUCUAAAUUGAUGAUAUUGAGAAAAUGCUUGAAGCUUUUAUGAGAACUUUGUACUGAGUUUGUAGAUAUGAUGUGAAUGCUGCGGUCUUUUACUUAGCCAAUGGCCAUAGGCUCUUUCUUGGUCAUAUACAUGGAGAAUUUUACUAGUCCUGGCUUUCCUUGCUUUAUCUAAUCUAAUGUCUGAACCCAAUAAAUGGCGGAAAAUAUGACCAUGGCCCUCCCAACAGUUGACAUGUUUAACUGCAGUUUUAAGCAGUUAUUUUUAUGGCAUGCUAAAUGUUCUAGUAUAUACUUAUCAUGGUUUGAGUUUGGAGACUGCUUCCUUGUGUAAAGAAGUGGAAUAGAGUUCAUGGUCAUUGAGAGUUUAUGUUGGUUUUUGUCUUUUUCAUUUUUGUUAUUCUUUUGGGUAUAAACUGAAGUUCAGUGAGAGUGUUGUGGCUGCUUGGACAGACAUUUGAUGCUUAUGUAGUGGGGAAAGAGGAUGCUCCCGGGAUUGUAGUUCUUCAAGAGUGGUGGGGAGUGGAUUUUGAGAUCAAGAACCAUGCUCAGAAAAUUUCUCAGUUUGAUGGUGGCUAUAAAGCACUUAUACCUGAGUAAGAUCCUUGAUUAAUCACAAGACUAUGGCUGCACACGGUUUUGUUGGCUUUAAGAGUCACAUAUCCUUUUUUAGUUGGUUUACAAGUGUUUAAUGACUUUCAUUGUUUGAUGUAGUUUAUAUCGCGGGAAGGUUGGUCUUGAUGUUGCUGAAGCACAGCAUCUGAUGACAGGUCUUGACUGGCAAGGAGCUGUCAAGGACAUUCAAGCUUCUGUUAACUGGCUCAAAGCAAAUGGUUCAAAGAAGGUUUAUUUGAACUUCUCUUAUAGCUGAUUAACCAUUUUGCAGUGUCUCAAAUGUUUCAAUCAGCACAUUAUUGGAAAAUACUACAAGUAAGAGGGGAAAGAAGACAAUGUUAAAUAAACAAAGAAAGCUUAAUCAACCAAUUUUUUGUUGUUAACACUGAGUUUUUCUUGCCAAAUUUUAACUCAUUGCCCUAUGGUCAACAGCUAAAGCUCUUCUGCAGUUGUUUUUGGAAUCUGAUUGCUUUGCUUAUCUGAUUAGGCCGGUGUAACUGGAUUCUGCAUGGGUGGUGCCCUUAGCAUUGCAAGUUCUGUGUUGGUCCCUGAGGUUGAUGCAGUUGUAGCCUUUUAUGGAGUUCCUCCACCAUCACUUGCAGAUCCUGCUCAAGCUAAGGCACCUGUGCAGGCUCAUUUCGGUGAGCUUGACAAUAUGGUUGGGUUCUCGGAUGCGAAGGUAUUUUAACAUUUUUUCUGCUGAAAUAUAGGUGGAUUCUCUGUCUUGAUUGAAAUUUUUCAUGCUGUUCUGUUCUACUGGCCUUGAUCACUUAAAUGUUUUAACAAAAUUUAAGCUCAGCUGUCAUCAUGUUUUCUCAUGCAAAGAUCCAUUAAAUAGUUGGCACAUAAAUUCUAAUCCCUCAGUGGUGAUCUGAAAGACUAAAUUUCUUGGAAUGUGGAUUCAGUGAAUUAUAAGGAUUUUGUCCAGCUCUCUAUUAACAAUUGGUUUGUCAGUCUGCUGCUAAAUUAAAAUGGUAACUAACUCCAUGUAGCCUGAAAGAGUUUCCAAAAAAGGUGGAUAUGAAAUAUGCACUUUAAAAAAAUUCAGUAUUUAUGUGAACAUUGUAAUGCUUUGGGUUUUGCAGAGACAGUUAUGGUUCUCUGCCUGGGUGUUGUCCUAACAAAUAUAAGAUCACUAAUGUCAAAGAAAAUCUAACAAUUAAACCAUUGGCUUUACGAAUGACUGCAGAAAAGAUGUACGAAUCAAAGCAGGAACAUUGCCACUUAAUUAUGUGGAGUGCCUGCAGCUUCUUUGUUGCUGAAAACAACUCAUUUCAUUUACCUCUAAGGACAUCCAUAUUCCAUUCAUGAUUAACUUCCUGAUUUUGUAGUUUUGCUUGCCCCCAACCACUCUGAUACCCCUUCCAGUAAGUUGUCCCUGGUAGGCCACUAUAUUUAUUUUUAGUUGUACACAAUUGCUGGUUGCCUCAGUUAGAUUUCUAAUUCCUUACUGCUAGGGGUACGAUUUAUAGAUUAAACUUUUAACAAGAUUAUGUCCUGAAUAUAUGCAGAUUUGAGGUUUCUAGUGAUUCCUAUGACAAAAGAUAAGUGAGAAAAGAUUUAAGAAUCUUAUUAGAUGGAGCAUCACAAGAGGAGUGGAGUACAGAAAUAUGGUUGGGAGGGAAAAUCGAAAGAUGUUUUAGGAAUUAAAUGAUGCAAGGGAGAAAAGAAGUAUGAAUGUUCCCAAAUUACUACAAAGAAAUCCUCUUUUUCUUUCCCUAAACUAAUGUUACAACUUUAGGAAUAUGUUACUGUUCCUGUUGAUUUCGACUGAGAGAAUUGGUGAUGAAGUGAGUCCUGAAGUGCUAAGACUCUUUAGUUAAAAUCUAUAAGUAGUUCUUUAGUAUUAGAAACUGUUUUAGGCAAAUAACUAGCUUAAGUUGAACAACGCCUAAUGUUGUUACUAUCAUUGAUCAUUGUUUUGUUUUACUUGGUGGUAUUUUGUUUGUUGAGUACUGUUUUUCCUUUUUCUUUUGGGUGGUAUUCCAGAAUUACUGGAUUCAUACAGUAUAAAUUAAUGUAUGUGUUAGCAUGUCUUUCGAAAUAUGACUCUCUAGUGAUCCUAUUAGGAAGAGAGUGACACUCAGAUGAAACUAUAGACAAGACACAUGGUGGGGUCUGCUGAAUGAUCAUUUUGUGAAGUUGCAGAUUAACAUCAGAUAGAAUAUGGACUUCUUAACUUCAGAUAAAAGUUGGAAGGUGCUCCUUACUGGUAAAGGCAAUCUGGAUAAGGUGUUAAGGAGUGAGUCUUUACGCUUCUAUUGGAAAUGAUGUAUGGAAUUGUGUGUUCAUUUCUUUCUGUCACGAUUACUGGUUUUCUUUUGCAUGUGUAUUGUCUUUGCACAAGCUUACUCAUUGUCUAUAUGAAGCUUUCAUGGCCCUUCUUGUGAGCUUUCCAGUGUGAUCAAAUUUUGGAAUUGAAAUUGGGGAGUAAUGUUGAUUCGGUGAAUGUUUAUCUAUAGCCAUAGUACCCCAGGUUGAGGUGAUAACCUUGGUAUAUAAGAACUUUGGCUUCCGAAUGCGCCAAACUGGCAAAUAAUCAACCUACAAGCAGAAGGAAGAUCUUGUUGAGGCUUGUCAUCUGUUUCAUAGGUGUGAAUUUGGAUUUGCAACCAUUUAAGCCGUUGUACUUUGGUUGGCAUCAUUCAGGCAUUUGUCUGCGAUAGCCCUAAAGAACUUCAGGGUAUAGCAGGAUAUAGCUUAUUCAAAACUAAGAUGGGAAGACAUCUAGCAUCCUUCAUGAGCUGAAUGUAGUAAUGAUCCUAGUUAAAGUUGGUAAUAUAGGAAACGAAGUUCAUCUUCUAAUUUUGUAUCUGCAAAAGUUUAAGUAAUGUUGAGCAUCUUUCAUGAGCUGAAUUGAGGGCAUGAAUUUCAUCUUCUAAUUUUGUAUCUGUGACAUGUAAUAGCAGUUUGUUUCGUGAAGAGACUAUUAUAUUACUGAGCAGACACCUUUGGUGUGGAAAUCUGAUAAUUGUUUUUAGAAUCUUAAUGAAGAUUGGAGUAACUUGUAAGUUGGUUGGGAUACAUCUGGCAAGGUGGACUAGUGCACCAUUUUUCCAUUAACUUUUUGGGGGCUGCAGCAAUUUGGAAGAUAACUUAAAGGAUUCUGGAAUGGUAAAUAUAAAGGAAAAUGAGUACUAAGAAAUGUGAUGCGGUAUUUUUUUCAAGUGUUGUGCUAGAUUGAGAGUUGAGAAGCUAAUGUUUGUCUUUAUUGGGCAGAAAGAUGUGUGGACGCAACUGACUGGGAAGCUUGUGGUGGUGAACCUGUUACUGAUUAUUAGUUCAAGUCUAAGAUUUGUACUUUGACAUAUUAUUGUGGUUCCUUGUACAAAGAGAUUUGCUUUCAAGGACGUGACCUCUUUGGCUCUUUUGGAGGAGGUACCUCCAGUGACACGGUUCAAAUUUUAUUAAUACCAUCCGAUCGGUUAAUGGUCGUUGAUAAGUCUUGUGAAGUUUUGUAGGACAACACUCCUGGAAUUAAUAGCGGUGGCUGACUAAAUUUGGUGCAUUUUUUCACGUUUUAGGCUUCCUGAAUCCUUAAGUUGCAAUUGCUUUUUCAUUAGUUUAUAGCUCCAGUUAUAUUUCAUUAUCCAUAUAAGGUUUGUAAAUGGCACGGUUGAGGGUCUUCAGGCACUUCUGAGAAUUAAAUAAUGGUGUAGCCUUCAGUAUUCUUAGAGCAAUAUGUAGCCUUGCACCACUUCUAAAAUGAUAUAAUAGAAGAAAGUUGCUUAAGUAGUUUGAAUUGUAACUCCGUUGUGUAUAUUGUUGCCAUCUGAUUUGGAGUGUGUUUCUGUUUCUGUUUCUGCUGGCAUCCAGUUCAAUCACACAUCUUGGGGCUUUGUGUGUUUUAGCAUCUUUAUCUCUAAUAAUUAAGCUAUCCUAUUUGCUCCUUUCAGACUGGGAAAGCAUUGGAGGAGAAGCUAAAGGCGGCUGGAGUUCCACAUGAGGUUUAUAUCUAUCCUGGUGUUUCACAUGCUUUUCUGAACACCUCUCCUGAGGGUGCCGAAAGGAGGAAGAGUAUGGGACUGAAUGAUUCAGAUGAUGCCGCUGUUGAACUAGCAUGGGCACGUUUUCGCCCAUGGAUGAGCAAAUACUUGUCUUCCUAAGCAACUAAUUUUCUUUUGUUUGCUGGUCCAGAUAAAACCACAAUCUAGUAAAUGAUGUGAUAAAAUUGGAAGGCCUGCAGUUUGUCUUCCCCUUAGUAAGUGGUGUGGUAACAAUUUAAACUUUGUUUCUUAAAUACAGUGCUGUGAUGCGAUCUUGUAUUUUAUCCUGCAUGGAGAGUAGUAGUAUUUCAAAAUGAUUGAUCUAUCUAUUGCUAUCUCUGCUUGAGCAUUAUAGUUGUUGCUUAUAGAAAAAUUUUAUCACGGUUUGGACCAAAACUUGUUGGUCUUUGACCAAUGAGAAUGCUCCAAAAUAAGAUUGUGAAACUCAUUAAUUUCACAUUGAACACAAUCCAUCCCUGUUUCUCCAAUUGAUUCGUAUUUCAUUGGUCAAAGAUCAACUAUAUUGCCAGCUAUAAGCCUUUGCCAAAUGGUUGGUCUAUAUAAUUUCUUUUUGAUCAUGAACUUGAGAUGUUGCCUUGGGUUCUUGGUUACUUUUUUAAAGAUUGACUGGAGAGAUAGACUAACGUGCGGAGGUGCCUCAAUCAACUGCCUUUGGCUGAAACUAUUAUUCCUUGACAAAGUUAGAAAAAUCAAUGUGGUCUGAGGUAACAGGUUUUGAAUUUCUCUUGUAGUCUGUUUCAAAGUCAUUAUUAGUCCAAUAUGUCCUGAUUGAAGUCGGCAUACGGUGUUCGAUGCCUGGCCCUGAUGAGGUGGGAUUUUGGACCUUUUGGUAAGAAGAAAAUUGAAUACACAGCUUGAAGAGACCAAAGGGAAAUAGCUAUAUGGAAAAGAAAUAUAUAGGAAUUAGAUGUAUUAUGUCUAUUUCUGAAGGUUCAUCUAUUGCUAGCUAUUCCAAAGACUUUUUCUUUUAGUUUUUAGUUGCUCACAAGUGUCCCUGGUCGAUAGAACAUUUCUUUUGAUUUUGAGAAGCAUUUAUUGGAGAUAGAAGAUGAAGAGUUCUUUGGUUAAUUAUCCUAAGGGCAUUUUGAAUCUCCAGAACUCUUAACGGGUAAAACAUCAUCUUUUUUUAUUAUUAUUAUUUGGACUCAAUAAGCAUAACUUAGGAAGACUAGGGCAAAUUUCUGAUACAUCCGUUUGGAUUAGCUGUUGUUGGGAGUGUUUUUGAAAAAUUUUACUGUAGCAGAGUUUUUAGAGGAGAUUUUGGGAUAUUUUUAGAAAAUAUUUUGGAAUAUUUAAGAGUAGUAGAAUUUGUUCACCUGAAAACUGGGAUGGAUUACAGGUGAAAACCAAGCAAAAUUUGUUCACCUGGAAAGGCUGGGAUAACUAAUUUUGCUGAGUUCCAUGGUGGAUGGAUUGGUUUUACACAUAGGGGAUCAUAGUCCAGUGUGUUGAAAAUCCAUACAUAUUUUUUACUUUUAUUUCCAGUCAUAACAUGCAAGUAAAAGAAUAGAUAUAUGGUACACUUUUCUGUUUCAUUAAUUUAUUUUUUCUUUUUGGUCAAAAUUGGUUCUUGCUGAAAUUUUCUAAAGCACACAGAAUGGACUUGACUUGCUUAAAUGUGUGCUGGAAAGAAUAGAGAAUCUGUUAAUUGGUCUUUGACCAAAUAUAGCUAAAUAGAAAAUAUCCCACGUACAAAAAGGGUUGGGUGGGGGGUCCAUUUUUUUGAAAGCUUUGAUUGAUGGGAAACUCAUUAGCAAUCCUCUUGAUACGCUAACAAAAUGUCGUCUCAAUUUCUUGCUCAUCUUCCAUUUCCAGAAACUGUCAAAAAUUUCUCUCUGCUGUUUUGACAUUUUGCAAAAUGGUUGCCAUGACCGGAUGCUUCAGAACUUUAUCUUUAGCCUUUGUUUAAGGCAAUUUAGAUCUCACCCCUUUGUCACGCCUUUUCUUUGUAUUUGGCACUCGUUUAGUACAUGAAACUCAUGAUAUCUGUUGUUUUUUUUUUUAAUUGAUCUUUGAAUCCAAAAUGCUCUGUUCUUGCUCAAAUUUACAUGUGAAUUCAAAGAACUCACAAACUUUAUUUGUUUUGAAAAAAAAAGGGUGGAAAAGAAACUAUUUAAAUAGAAAGCGCAAUUCUUUUGUACUUAUAUAUCAAGGUUUAGAGCGCUCAUCAACUUACUAACUUGAUCGGAACAUUAAUCACGUAACAAUGAGAUCUUUAGUUCAACUUUCAAACCUUCUUCUCUACAUUCGAACAAAAAAAAAGGUUAAAUUUUGAAAUUACCGAUCUAGAUCGAAUCACAUUAGAUGCGAUUCAAUUUGCGCAGCUCAUUAUUCCAACCGUAUACAGUCUGGUUCCCUUAAAUUUGGGGUACUAUCUGUCCAAGUUGGCUACUUUCCGACCAGCUAUUACACUUUUCCUUACUUUUGAAUCUUUCGUCUCAGCGCUUAGAUUGAAACGACUGGGUUUUAUUGUCAAAGCUUCUACAUGGUCUUGUUUGUGAAGAACAAAUUUGGAAUUCAAUCCUUCUGAAUAGACUGAAUAAACCAACAUGAACUUUCACAUCGUAAUAUUCCCCGAUUAAGAUACUCCAUAAAUUGAUAAAACCAGUAAAAAAAUAUGUAACAGUAAAUAUCUUUAAAAAAAAAAAAAGCCAGUGAAUGUGUACUUUUAAUCGUAGAAAACAGACGAAGUAUUCCAUCUUUAUGAAAACAAGAUGCAAAGACACAGCAGCUGAAAGCCUGAAACCGAUCACCUUAAUGAAUUAGUAAGCGCAAAUUAGCAGCUGCAUGGUUCCUAGAGACCUAGAUAUGUGAAAGCCACCAAACCUAUUUGAUUAUUAAUACGUGUUUUUCAGGAACUAAUAUAACUUUUUUUUUAGCCCCUUUGAUACCUUUUCACCCAAAUUGCCAGAUGGUCAAGAUUCGAAUUCUGAAUCUGACAGUAGAACUAAAAUAUACCUCAUUUUUUCGUUUCUUUGAUUAUAUGUUGUAAGUCUAAAUGUUGAGACUCCAUUUUUAGAAAGAAGAGUAAUUGUUGACAAGCAAAAUCGUGUUAUCACUACUAAGUUAAUCGUUCUUCUCAAUCAUAACUAAUUUAGAAAUUGACAACUAUAAUACAGACAAACCUUUCUAGUUUAACCGCUUCUGAUUCUCAUUUUACCACUGUCCUACUUAAUCACACAUGUUACACUGUAUGAAUAACGUUUGAUCAAGUAACAGUUGCAUCAAAAGAGAACUGGUCUGAUACCUUGAAUUCUCAAUCUAAUAAUGCCUAGGGGAUUCAAUCAGAUGGAAAAGUAUUUAUGAAUCAUAUGGUCCAGUUUGAUGCCUUUUUGACUCGUUCACUCUAAUUUCGAGUAUGGUCCAAAUUCCCUUUAAAGCAGCUUUUAAUUGUAGUGGCCCUAUUCUUUUGAAAUUCCAUGGACCUGUCUUUCUUUCCUUUACGAGUCCUAGUGCCUUAGAGUAGAAAUAAGUAAAUGCUAUACCGACCCACAAGAGGAAUUAGAGUUCUUCUGAAAGCUACUUCGAGAUGAUUUAGAAUACGUUUCGGUCUUAAUUUUCCUUUAAUUAUUUGAAGAUAAUUCAUUUUUUUGUCCUUUCAUUUUUGAGAGCCCAAAACCUAUGUUGUGAAGAUUCCAUUUUAUUGAUUUGUUUUUUUAGUGUAAGUGAAAGUUUUUAAAUUCAAGAUCUCUCACUUAUACUUCCUUCUCUAGUAUCACCCAACCCAUCCCUUGAUAGUUAACAAUAAUGAAAUGCAGCUUUUUUGGUCUUCCAUUGAAAAGGUUGCUAGAGAGUAGGCAGUGUCAAAAUUUAAACAAAAGACUUUUUCUUUUGCCUUUGGUUUUAUUUUUCUUUAUUUGACGCCAUUUCACGUACGCUAACAUUUUUAUUUUAAUUUUCUUAGUUUUUUUUGGACAAAUUCAACUUCUAGGGGCGGCCUAACGGUAAAGGGAGGACUGUUAGAGUUUUCGCCACUAUCAGAUUCAGGGUGUUAAUCCUGUGCAUGGCAAUUAGAGAUAGGAAAUGUGUGAGGAAGGGUGGGAGGGCAAAAAAUAAUUCAGUAAAUUCUUGCUUAUAAUUACUUCCACUGAAAGGAUAAAAUUUCAAAUUUCACAAAAUUUUAUCAAGUGAUUUGAGGUUUCAUUGGCACGUAUCAAGUAUAAAUUGAGUAUGCAAAUCAACCGAUAUGGAUAUAAGCAUACAUGUAUCUACUUGGUUUUCUUUUGCUUUUUUGGUAAGUGAUAUAGUUUUCUAUAACUUUAUCUUUUCUCCAGUUAAUACGUUGCUUUGUCAGAUUCACAUCUUCUUGGAAAACAGUGAUCACACAGGAGUGAUGGAUUAGUGAUUUAAGUCAACUUCUGUGGUUAGCAAUUAAUUUUGGACAUCUUGGAAGUUGAGAUGUUCCCUAGAUGAAUUUAUUUCUUACCAGAACAUCAAUUAGCACAAUUGAAUUGGCAGGAAGAAAGAUGAGGAGAACUGAAAUGGACUUGCAAACAGUUUUAUGGACGUCUGAGUUUAGAUAUCCACAGAUUUUGCUAAUUUUAUUACGUCUUCAACAACUUAAUUGUUAAGUCAAAACUUAACAGAAACCGUGGUGCGCUCCACAAAAAACUGAGGUUGCAUUAUAUUGAGCUAGUAUAAUACCUCCUUCGAUUAAUCUCAUAUGCAUUGACAGGAUAGACACCGUUAGUUUUGGAUGAACGACAAUUAUAUAAAAUUUAAAUUUAAAACUCAACUUUUAUACAUGUCAUAAAUUUAAUCAUCAUAGUGUAUACAUUAUCAGUAUCUAUAAGAUUUACUCUAAUUUCGUAACCAAUUUUAUCUAGAGCCCUUGUUUAGAAAUUGGAUAUUAUCAUGUCUCUAUAUAUUGACAUUUCAUAGUUGCAGCCAAUCAAGAAGUAUAAGGACAAGAUCUGCAAAACUAUGAUGAAUGCUUGAGUUGAAGAUUAUGACUAUUUUCAAAUUUCUGUUUCACCUUAAUUGAGGUUAUAUUCUUUAUCAAGAGAAACGAAAGCAGAAGGGUAAAUGGUAACUUUGCCUGCAUUUUUUUUAAUUCACAAUAAUAAAAGUAUAAAGAGCAAACUCUAAGAAAUGACGUUAAUAUUUUGCUUUUCGUGUGGAAAAAGAUUAAGUUAAAUUAAGGUGGUCCAUCCUAUCAUUUAUUGGAUUAGGUGCACUCGCAAAACGUACUAAAUGUUGGACCAUUUCUUCAACCUGAAAUUGAUUAGAUCAAUAUCUUUGGCAUUGAGAAAGAUCAGAGUUUAAAAGAUGAUGCACAAAGGAGAAAAAAAAAACAGAUUUUAUGUUCCUGAUAAAGAUGUUUGUUACCAAUUCCUUAAAUUUGUUUUGAUAGAAUUAAGUACCAUUCUCAUUUUUAAUGUUGCUUUAUAUUCUUUGCCUCGAGUUGUCUUACCUUCACAUUUUGUGAACCACUACAAGUUGACCUUAAUUAAGUCUUGAUGGUGUUGGUUUUUGACCAACCGUAUUAGAUAUAGAUGGAGUUUGAAUCAAUUUGUGAGCCCUAAAGAUUUUUUUAGCACGAUUACAUCAUUUAAGAGUUUGAAUCUUAGUUCUAUUGUCAGUACAAUUAGAAUAACAAUGAAGUGCAACUAUGAAGGCAUACAUUACAAUUUCUUGCGUAGUUCUUCCUCCAUUAGAAAUAAAAAAAAAAAAAAAAGAGUAAAAGUAAAAUCACCUAAGGCUGAGGAGGGUCGGUGAGAACAGACCAACCUAAGUUCGACCUGAUUGGCCUGAAAAAUUAGGGCGAGCAAUAUAUAGUAUUUAGUAGAGUGACUUCGGGCUUUAAAUGAGACCUAAUUUAAUUGUGAGUUGAGAUUUCAUGAGUCGCUCAGAAUAGAGUUCAAACUGAACAUUUAAGUGUAUGUAUACUAAUGUAUUUUGUUUGAUAAUUAUUUGAAUUUAAUGUAUAUAAUGUGAAAUAUAUAUAAUCAUAAAACAACACAAAUAUUAUAUGCACAUCACAUGUAAUUAUGAAUUUACCGUGAGUUUGGGUUUAGGCUCGAAGUUCUAAUAUGUUUUUCCAUCAAGUAUGAACCUUAUACAUUAAACUGAACUCGUUUGACAAGUGAGUUUUUUGAGUGUAUGUCUAAAACUUUACUGUAACUUACUGUAGAAGUUGUAGAAAAAAAAUUUUUAAGCGUGUAAAUUUUUGAAUAUUUUGAAAUAUAUAGUUUAAAAUUUUUUUUGAGAUUAGUGUAGUUAAAAUUGUUAAAAAACUUGUAACAGAUAAAUUUGACCAAAAACUUACUUUGCCAAACGAGGAAGAGCAAGUCUGAAAAUUCUACUCUAUUUUGCCCAACCAAACUUAAACUUGUCACAAGUCAGUUCAAGAGAACCAAUUGACAACCCUACGCAUGCUUGUGAUAUCACGUUAUUGUCCUGAUUUGGAUCCACAUAUGAUUUAAUACACAAAAAUCUCAAAAGGAUUGAACAUAUACUUCCCUCAUCCUUAAUCUACUUGGAGUAGGAGAGAGGAAAACUUGGAGGGACAAGUCUGCAGUUAGGUUGACAAUGAAUGAUGGGAUGGCCAUUUUUUACACAUGUUGACCAAAAGGGCGGUAGCCGCAGUAGGCAGCAGCAGUAGCUCGGGAUCUGCACCGUGAAGUUCUUUUGGAAAUUGUCUUUUUUGCAUAAACUACUCAUUUCUAGUUGUCAUUGGUUAACUAGUCUCCAAACUGACUUUGAACCUUGAGAGAAACACAUUUGAAUUUAUGGAGACAGUUUUGCAUAUUUCAAUAUUCUCACAAAGUACACAUCCUACAAGGUCCCGUUUGGUCCUGUAAUUCAGUGGUCAAGACUCAAGAAUAAGCAUACUCAUGUUUGGCUGGCCAACUUGAAAAUGGCUUUCGGAAGAAUAGUUUUUGGAUAUCACCCAUCACCUACGUGAAGUUUGAAGCCCUAAUCGAUCCAGGCUUUGUUUUGCUUUUCUUUUUUCUUCCAUUUUGCUUAAUUCUCAAAUUCAAAUUAGGAACUCUUCAUUAAAUUAGUGUUAAACAUAUUGAAACAAAGGAUAUCCAAGUACUUGCGUGUAUGUGGAAUCAUCUUAAAGGGGAGUUCUUGAAGGAUAAACUCAAUAGUCCCAACUCUAAAAGUUGAAAAAUUAGAACUUUUUUUUUCGACAAAUUUGAGAAUAGGGUUUUGAAAUUUUGGGAAAAGUAGCUAGGGAGUCUGUUUGAAUAUUUUGCCAAAAUCUAAAUUCACCGUAACAUUCUUUCUUCCCAAGUAAAAAGCACCAUAAGAUGGCUGUGGGGUUAUGCAGGAGCAAAUGAGUAAACCCCCACAAAUUUAUUUUCCCUACUUUCAUUUGUUUAUUUUUUUGGCUUGUCUCUUAGUCUCUUGGUAGAUAAAAUAAAUGAAUUGAGUAAACAAAUUCUCAAAUGUUUGAAAACGAUGCAUCAACUGGAGGAAGAAGUGUACACGUUGAUAUCUCAUUUACAACAUAGAAAAUCAUAUCUAUGUGAAAAGUAUCUUUCUUCCUUCAUGUUGUCCCCUAACUGUGCUGAUAUUAUUAAACAAGACUGGUCCUUAGUUCAAGGGCCUGCAGUCUUCUUCUCUUUCUGAAGUCAUUGAAGCCCCACAUUCAUUAUUUUUUUUUUCAAUUUCCUAUUGAUUAGCUUUUCAAUUCUUUCAUGGUCCACCCUCUGUCCGGAUUUUCAACAUUUUUGAUUAAUUUAUUCCGGUUUUUCCGUCUGCAUUAUCGUCAUCAAAAUCUCAGUCUUCUUCAACUUCAUACUAUAUUAUGCUCUUCCUAAUGUCAAUUAUUUUAAUUGGUUGUUAGCAUGAUAAAUGAAUUGGGCUCAAAUAAAGUCAUUAGGUUGCGUGCAUUAGUGAUGUAUGAUUGAGAAUCAGCACCGUUUUGCUCUCCCAAUUUAGUUGGAAACUUUAAUUGACAACUAAGGCAGGAAUACUUCAAGUCUAUACAACUAACGUGAUUCAAUGUGAACGUUGAGGUAGUUUUGGAAUGAGGAAGGAAGACGUGGAGUGUAUAGACAGGGUACAUAAAAUAAAAUCCUCAUUAUUGAAAAUUGGGCACUUGAGCACGAAUAAAGAAUAGAUAUUAUACUUAAAAUCAAAUUCUCAUUUUAACACAAAAUCAGUGAUCUUUUUUUUUUUUUUCUUUUGGGAGGUAUGUAAUUUUUUUCCCAAUAUAAAACAUAAAAUUGGAACUUUUAUCUGAAUUUACUUGGAGUCUUUACCGCCAUAGCAUGAUUGGAACACAUUAAGAAAAGGCUCGUGCUAUUUACAUAAGAGAAAGAAUUAAUAGGGAACUUGAAUGCCAUAAAUUCACUUGGAAUUCUGCACAUAUGUGUAGUGUAGUUGGUAUGCCAAGUCUCAAUCUAGUAAGGGUGGAAUUUCUAUCGUUGUAAUUACACAUGAAACUUAAUCUAGUUCCACGAAGUUGUUUUCACAUCCAUUACAUCUCUUCUUCGCUUGCUUACAUCUAUUGAUCUCAUUCUAUUUUUUACAAUUAUAAUCUGCAAUUUUUUCUUUGAUUAGGCAUGCCAUAUUGACAUUCUAAAUACUCAGUGUGGAAAGGAGUUCUUUUGGUCAAGAAUAGGUUUGAGCAUCCACAACAUUAAUUUUAUUUUUGGUAUCUCUUUCCCCUUCUAUUUUUCUUUCCCACUAUAUAAUCAUUAUCUGUAGGAUUUUUUUUGGAAAAAAAGUAGUUUGUGUGUGUGUGUGUGUAUAAAUUCUAGUAGAGAAAAGAUGGAAUUUAAGAAAAGGGGAAAGGGAUGAAAAAUUUUAAAUCUGAAACUUCUAAUUCUUGAAAUCUCAAUUUGAACCACUAAAUCAAGACUUCCUCAACAGUAUGAAAUAUAUUUGUACAUAUUGGUAACUUUGCUUUUUUUUUUUUUUUUUGGAUGGCUAUAGCUUGUUUUGACCCUAAACAAAUUAACUAUGGAAGGAAAAGCCAACAACAAUGUGAAAGUAAUCGCCAGAGUUUUCUGAAUGUUCAAGUUAUCAGCUAUUGCAAUCCAAAUAAAAGAAAUAAAAAGAACAAAAGUUUCAAGGCGUGAUUUGCAUGUUCUGAAGUUCAAGUCACACUUUGGUGGUUCAAACAUAUUCUCUUGUAUCCAUUCUUGAAAGGCAUCUAAAACUUAAUAUUCAGUGACUAGAAAGUCAAGAAGACGAGUUAAAACCGUGGCUAGGCUGUUGACAACACUAAAUGAGAAAAUUCAACCAAAAAACCAAAAUUUUCAUGUCUUAUGUUUUCCUUUCUUUCUUUGUGGAGUAAAGAAUCCUAUUGUGUUGAGAAGAAAAAUAAAAUGUAAAAGCUUGUUUGAUGCGAAUUCAUGUCGGUAUAUCGCAAAGAAAAAAAAACAUGGGAACAUGUAAUCUUCUCCUUUCUUGGUUGUUUAAAAAAUUAUGUAGUUCCAAUCAGGUACAAAGAUAUGUGAAACUUGAUUUUCUUGAUUCUUAAGUCAAGAAAACGAGUUAAAUCCGUGGCUAGGCUGUAGACAACCUUGCAAGAGAAAAUCCAAUGAAAAAAAAUCCAAAUUUAUAAUGCGUUAUGUUUUCCUUUCUCUCUCUCUCUCUCUCUCUCUCUUUUAAGUUGGGGUUGGGGGAUGAAAAUAAGAUUUUCUUUUUGUUAAGAAGAAAAGUAAAAUGUAAAAGCUUCAUGCCUGAUUUUGAAGCUAGAAUUCGGAUCCCCUUCAAAAAAAAAUAAUAAUAAUAAUAACAGAAAGACGGAUUGUCAAAGACUGAUUUUAAUGGCUACGUAUUGGAAAUUAGAUGAAUUCUGAUAGAUUUUGCCCUUUACCUAUUUCUUUUGCAAUGAUUUAUCAAUAUUCCAUAACAUUUUAGUUUAAUGUGAAUCAUGAAAGGAAUAUUUUCUCUCUCAAAUACUUUUCUAUAGACCUGAUAAACAUACCAAAAUCUUAGACAGCAAAAGUGCAUAUGAAGACUCUGCAAUAUUUUCUUAAUUAAUUUCAUUAAACAAUUUUGUGCAUGCGUGCACGUACCAAAAGUAAAAGGUACUUUAAAUUCAUCAUUAUGCGAGAAAGUCGGCAGGCAACAACAAUUGCAAAACAAAAACACAGAAAAUGGGAUCAUAAUCUUGUCAAUAGAAAAAAUAAUCUUGACAAGAAAGAAUUAAAAUGAAUUGAAUCACGUUUUAGUCCUGUUUUUCUUCUUAAACAAUAGUAUAUCUUAACUUUUUGUAACCUUUUGCAUGCAAAGUACUAUUUGUAAAGGAUUUACUUCUUAAUUGCCUUAAUUUCGAAAUAUACCAACAUCCGGACCUACUUGUUGGAACUCUUUUGCAUCUUGUAGACCAUACCUCUGCUCUCUUUCCUAUUGCUUUCUUUGAAAUUCACCCUCAUUGGUACCUAUCAUUUUAAUGCCUUUAAUUUGAGUCUUUGACUCUUUUUCUUCUGAUAAAAAGUAGAACAUUUAAGAUGUUCUUUUAGAAAACUUAGAUGAUGAAUUUUUCGUUUUCUUUUCCAAGUAGUUGCAUCAUAAUUUCUUAAAAAAAUAUUAUGUACCCAUCCAAUAUGUAACAAUUGAUACAAUAUUUUGAGAUUGAGUAAAAAUUUAUGAUUUCAUCUUGGUAUAUUUUCUUUUUUAUUUUACCUGUCGUACUGAAAUUGUUGGAGUCGUUAAAUUCAACAUUUGCAUCUUUUCUUCUCUGUCAAUCUUGGAUUAAGUGCUCAUUAAUGCAACAGACUUAUUAUAUGUCAUCAUAUACUUGUGUUUUUACGUAUUUUUCAUUACAUUAUUGUCAUUAUUAUUAUUUUUAACAGGGAAAGGAUUUAAGAAAUAGGAAAGAAAAUAAAACAUUUGAACUCAAAACCUUUAAUUCCUGACGCUUCAACUUUAGCCACGACUAUGUAUCUCAUGUAUUCUUUUGCUUAUGUGGAAGCUAACAGGAAGACUUGAGGUUCAAAACCACAGCCUAAGUUGCACUACUAAAGCUUAUCUUUCCCCCACCAAAGGCGGGGAGAUCACUACUGAGGCUAUGCACGUGCAGACGCCUCGAGUGCUAAAAAAUCCAAAUUGGCUUCAAACAUGAAGAUGAUAAAAGGAAAAUGCGGCUGCAUACUAUGGUAAAGUAAGAUGUCUUGUCCAAAUUGAACCAGAAUCCUUUCAUUUCUUGUCUUUUUUUUCUUCAAUUUGACUAUUUAGGUGAUACUUUUUUCAACUUAUGCCCUGUCCAAGGAAGGUAUGAUCAUAUAAUCAAAAUCAAACUCUACUGUUGGAUUAUGAGAUAUGUGUAAUACAAUCCAAAAGGUUUCUUGCACUACUCUAAUGUCUAUUUUGUCUACUAUACUUGUCAUUUGACUUAAAAAAUACAUUCAUAUGGCACGCCAAAAGUUGAAAGGAGCGUAUAAAUAUCAUUAUCCUGCACUGGUUAUGAAUUCGAACUGUGCUCAUUUGGAGAAAAAUUUGUUUUGAGCUCUGUCUGGCAACGUUCUAGAAAAAUAAAAAAUGCAUCCAUAAAAUCUUCUUAAAUUUCCCCAAAAUUUGGAGAAUUUAUAUAUGACAGGAAUAAUCUAGGUGUUACUUAAAUAGUUUUCGGACACUGUACUUGUACAAUUUCUUGAUUUCCUUCCUUUUUUUUCCCUAGGUUUUGGAAAACACAGUAUUACGGAAAAUAACAUAUAUAUCUUUGGAGAGGACAAAGGAAUAAUUAUAAUUUUUUUUGUAGAAAGUACUUUUGAAAUCCAGGAUUCAAAUUAACAAAGGAUGAUACAUAUUUAUCCUCGUUCUAACAAGUGAAAUUUUAGACAAAGAUAUUUAGCAAAUAAAUUAGACAAGCAUUAUCCAUGAAAUUCAAUUGCUUACGAAAGUCCUCACAUGAAUUCUACCAGUGCCAAACCUGAAGAAGAAAGGCACCUUGUAACGUGAAUAAAGAAGUCGAGGCAUGAGGAAAGAGGAAAAGAAACAUCUAUCCUCUUUUUGACUCCCUUCUAAAAAGGCAGCCCGCAAAAACUGAUUAUUCUCUGCAUGCAUUGCACGUAAAAGACAAUUACACAAUGAUCUCUUGGGAAAUAUAUGAAAAGAAUUUCUAAAAAAUAUCUGGGCCUGUCAAGUUGCUGGUGGACUGUUUCUGUUUUACACUUUUAAACACUUUUUCUUGUACACUUUUGGUUUUUUAUUUUUUUUUAACGAAAAAGUUCGGGUGAGUUCGAUUUCAAUCAUCACCACAAAUUAGGACAUGCUUUCGGAAUCAUAGAUUUCUUGUGGUGGAUUCUUAUAAAUUGUCUAUCAAAACAACAAUUACAUGUAAUUCGUCCUUACUAAUUGAGCCAACUUGUACCCUUUUAUUAGUUUCGUUGAACAAAAUGUUUACUUCAGUGCUACCAAAUGAAAUUGAAUACCACUUGUUGCUGAUCUUUUGAACCUUUAUGCUAUUUUCGUUACUAGAAAUGGAGUAAUGACCAUAAUCAAAAUUUUCUUUUGUAUAAUUUCUUCGUUGCCAGCUUCAUUAGUUAGGUAGCUUCUCAACUUUACUAAAUCAAAAUGGAAUUUGUCCUAGUACGCUAGGUGCUUCAAUGUGAUUAUUACAGACACAUUUGUUUACGUGUAAUUUUAGUUUCAAUAUAGAAUUUGUCGGCCCUUUUGACUGAAGCUGGGGAUCAAAGUCAAAUAAGACUGUGCUCUAGCCAAUUCUAAUAAGUUUCAUAAAUUCAAGCAAGUAAUUGGUAGUUCAAGAAUUAAUUUCAUGACGUUGCUCCCAAGUUUGAAUCACAAAUUAAUAACUUAACCAGUUAGAGCUCUAAUUAAAAAUCAUAUUCAAGUUAAUCUUCAGCUAUAUCUUACAUGUAUCUGAUUCAGGUUGACUCACCUAUAUUUCCAAAAUUGUUAUUUAUCUUGCACAAUAAAGUCCUAUAACCUUAUAAUAAGAAAGAAUUUACGUAGUUAACUGAAAAAUUAGCUGAAUUUGGCAUCUUUGUUAGAGGCUUUUAGCUCUUAAUCUCUUUGCACUUAAGUGGUGUUAUACAUGCAUAAAAAAAAAUUUGAACUAGAAAAAACAGGCGAAAGGAUAACUAUUGCCUCGAUAUCAUGAAAGUUUGAUGGACAGAAAUUAUAGAAACCCAUAAUUCUUUAAGUUAAUUUGAUGCAAGAUGUUAUAUAUUUACAAAUGUUACCAAGGCAGGUAACUUCUUCACAGAAUUUAAUAUAUAUGUAGUGUCAUCUGAAUUAAAAAUUUUGAUUCUUCAAUUGAGUUCUUAUACAGUUGAAUGAUAAGUACUCACAUUGUAAUAUUAUUGAUAAUCAUAUUUCUAGUAAUUGUUGAAUGUGUAAUUUGUCUUUAGCUAUUAGUAUAUGCUUGAGUGGUUUAGCAGACUUGAGUGGAAACAUACUUGAGAUUCCUUGACUCUAAAGAAAGAGGGCAUCACAUCACAAACACAAAAGAUAAGGAUUCUUGAAUGCAACAAAACAACGUAGACAAGAAAAGAAAGGGACAAAUGAAAUUUUGAAAAAAUUGAGACUCUAUUUGCCCUGAUGUGGACUGGUUUAUAUUGAAUAGUUAUUUCCACGAAAUUUCUUGAUGCAUUGAGUACCUUAAUUGUUGACAAUAAUGCAUUUCAUGCUUCAUAUCGGAAACUGUUAGUAAAUCUACCAGAAUAACAAGGAUUAAUUUUUUCUACACUGAUAGUUUAUAUACAUAUAUAUAUAUAGUCAGCAUUAGAUAAAUGAUAACUAUGCAAAAUGUGAACUUGAAAUUCAACUUUUGUAUAUAUGUCAUGGAUCCAACGGUGACAGUGUAUAUAUGCUGUUAGUGUAUAUAAAAUUUAUUCAAAUAACAAUUGUUGGUAAAAUGUUAAAUAAUAUUUUUUAUGUGAAUACAUGGUUAUAUAUAUUAGAAACAACUAAUAUAAUAGUUGUAGGAUAUGUGGUACUACAUUUUUCUUUAGAGUGUAAUUCGGAUGACUCGAACUCCAGAUCUCUCACCUUACACUCUCAUCCCCUGAACUACCUAACUCAUCCCACCCAUAUGGUGUCUUAUAUAUGAUUAUCAUUAGUUUUUUUCAUACUUAUAUUAGAAGCACAUACACUAACUAAAAAGAUAAUACUUAGGUAAGCUAAAUUUAUAGAUCCACUUUUAGACCAUAACUUAUAUUCAAGUGUCACAUAAUCAUAGUAAUUUAUGAUAAUAUAAAAGAACCGUAAGAUAAUGUAAGAAAAUCUGUAUGACUAUUAAAUGUCUACAAAUAGAUGUAUAGACUGGUUUACUUAAGUAUCGUACAGAUGAAACUACUUAGUAGAUUGGGAGAAUUUAAGAGUUUGUUUGGAUUAUAAUUUUUCAAGAGUUUUUAGAGAAAAAAUUAUUGUAGCAUUUUUUUAGGAUGUAAUGUACAUGUAAUAAAAAUGUGAUAAAAAAAUACAUAAAAGAAAUAUUCAUGAAAAAUGUAAAUUUUUUUUUUUCAGAAAAUUGCAAUCUGAGUUGGGCCUAAGUAUUUCCCUCCUUAAAAAAAGGCACACAUACUAUGGUCAAACUAAUAAGCUAACAUAACUAGUCUCGUAAUAUGAAGGGGCAAGAGGAAAACAAGGAUCAAAAACAUUGAGUGAGAUGGGGUUUGGGUAGGCCUGUCAAUGGGUCGGGUCUAGACCCGGAUCCGGACCGGAUCCGUGAAAUUAUUGCGGGUAUGGGUAGGGAUUUAAUUCCGUUUCCCGGAUCCGGAUCCGGAUCCGUUUUGUCAAACAAAAAACGGGUCGGAUACGGAAUAUAGUAUUCCGGCCCGUAUUAGACCCGGAUCCGGAUAUAAAUGAAUUAAUAAUUUAAAAAAAAUAUAUUUAUCAAUAUAAUUUGAUUAGGAUGAUAUAUUUGAAUAAAGUCAAUUUGAUUUCUUUUCUUAUUUGGUUUUUUCUUUGCAUUAGUUAGAAAUUAGUUUACAAAUAUAUUUUUUUCUCAUUUUUAUUAGAAAUUAUAAAUUCUGCUAAAUUUGUUCGGGUAGACCCGACCCGGAUCCGGGACCCGCCGGAUCCGGAUCCGGAACAUAGAAUAAAAGACCCGUCGGGUAAACGGGUCGGAUCCGGAUCCGGUAUAGUAAUUCGGGUCCGGGUCCGGAAUAAUGAAUUCCGGCCCGUUGACACCCCUAGGUUUGGGAGUAGGUAGUAGGAAGGGGGAGAUGGGAGAGAGGGUAAACCACUGGACACGUAGUUCAUAACAUUUGCAUAUAACUACUUUUUUAUGCUCAUGACAUUUUCGGUCAGAAAAAAAAUAAUUAAUUUUUUAUACACUGAUAGAAUAAAAUUUUUGACACCAACAAUUAUAGAUAUAUACCAUAUAUGUAUGAUUUAAUUUUUAAAUUUGAAUUCAUAUUGUAUACCAUGAUCUAAAUAUGUAAGUAUAAAAAAAUAUUAUACCCUGAUAGUAUAUAAAAACUCACCUAAAAAAAUUGUAGAAGAGAUUUCUAUGUUAAAAAUAUAAUUAUGUAUUUUUAAUUUAAAAAAUUAAGUUAUUUUUGUCCAAUCAAAUUGUUUAAGCAAUAAUAAUUCUUUAAUAAAUUUUACAAACUUAGCCUAUUUUAGAAUCUUCCUUUGUCUAAAAUAUUUCUCAUGCUAUUAUGUGGCCAAGAUGGCCGGGACUGCAUGACAACCGCACAGCACUGACAGCAGAAGCACUCAAGACUCAAAAGGUAGCCGACGAUGAGACGGGUGGGAUGCAGCCGUCCUACGUGGCGAAAUGUCGUCCCCACAAGUCGUCAUAGAGUGUGGCCAGUCAUUGAAAGUCGUUGACCCCGUUGCCUUGAAAACCUACUCAAUUUCUUUUAUUAAUUUUUAUUGAUAUAUUAAAUACAGUCUCCAAAGUAGUCUAGAAAGUACAAAUUCGAUAAAUAAUAAUCAUAGAUUUUAAAUAAAUUACAAACACUUUGGUCUAUUAUAUAAUUAAAUCCAAGUCAAUAUCCAUAGUAAAUUUGCUCGAAAUGCAUAAGAGCUAUAUUAAUUUUUUUCCCGACAACAUCCUUCUUACACACACAAAAAAAAAAAAGGGGAGCUAACUUAGUCGAUUACAAUAUAUUAAGCAUCCCAUGUAUUAGAUUUGAUAACAGAUUGCAAGACUUAUUCUGAAGGUAUUUAUAUUACAUUUCAGCGCUCGUAGAUUGAACAAACCAGAUCAUGCCCAAAAUUCCUGUCAAAUUUCAAUGUUCAAUUCGAUACACUUUUAUGGCAUUUUGUGAUCAAUUGCCUGUUGAACUAAUGCUUUUAUUUUGUGCAGACAUUUCAGGGAUACCUAGUUAAUUAACUUGCUUUUGUUGGUAUUGAUACUCUCUUGUUUCUACCCAAAAACGUAAUAACAAUAAUAAAAAUAACUUGGUCAAAUGAUCAUAUAGUCAAUUAACACCAACAAUUUAGCUUCACAAUGUUUCAAAUUGAUUCGCAUGCUUUAUUGACUUUUUUAAUUGUAAGCGGGCGAUUUUGAUUAUCUAACUACCCAUGACGAUCCCUCUCUUCUUAUCACCUAAUUUAUCCUUUCUCCUAUUGACUUAUUUACUUAGUUUACAAAAUUAUGUCAAAAACUAGCGACAUACUAAAAACAAUGUUUUUAAACUCGGACCGGUCAGUAAACCGGAGAGGUGGCCGGUUCGCGGUUCGACCGGUCCGACCGGUCCAACCGGCCGGUUCAAAGGUUCACUGUUUUUGUUUUUUUUUUUGUUUUUUUUUUUUUAGUAGUUAAGUACUAAGUAGGUUUCAUUUUACACUUGAACUUUACCAACAUAACUUAAUUUAAGUUAUGAUAAUAAUAAAUUUUCUAAAAGUUAUACACAAAACAUGGAAUGAUAAAUAUAAUUAAAAUAUCAUAAUUCACCACAAGUUUUCAUAAAUUCAUUAUAAACAUAAAUAGAUACAAUCCAAAUGUGCACCAAUUAUCACAAAUAAAAACACAAAAAAUAAAUUAAUUAAAUAUUGAAAUUCUUUUACAACCCUUAAAAAAAUUCAUAAAAGAGUUCAAAUUAAGACAAACUAUUUGAAUAGCAAACUUUUAUCAGUGGCAUGAUAAGCAACCACACCACCUUCACAAUUUCAUCAACUUAAGCUGAAAAAGUUAAAAUUUUAUUAUAAAAAUAUAAAUCUAAUUGCUCAAACUAAAAAAAAUUAAAAAUUUUUGAAAAACAAAUAUACAGUUAAACACAUAAAAAAUUAAUUGCUACUAAACAUUACUAAUUAACAUGUUAUAUUAAAUUCAAUGAUCCUAUACCAUUAAUUAUUUUAAAUUCAAUUAUCAAUAGCUUCGAUUAUGUGCCAACUACCAUAUUUUUGACCAACCCAAUGUUAUUAUUUGUAAUUCCUACCCAAUUCCUACACGGAUGUGCACUACUUUUGCAAAAAUUUCAUCCUUAAUUAAUCGAAUAAAAAUAAAACAAAAAUGAGGGAAACAUAUGAAAAUUGAGGGGAAAAAGAAGAAAAUGCAAAAAAUCAACUAAAGAUAAUAAUAUAGAAAAAAACCUUGAAAAGAAAAAAAUUAAACUUACUAAAAUGUUGGAAAACAAGAAAAGUUGAAAUUUUCAACUUGUUUACAAUCUGCUAAAGAUAAUAACCAGAUAAUAAUGGUGAAGACUUGAGAAAAUCUUGUUGUGGAUAUUUGGGUUAAAAAUGGUUAAGAAGAAAAAAUUGAAAAAAAAAAAAUAAGAGAAGAACUUGAUGUUUUAAUAUAUUUUUUAGUCAAGUAGAAUUCUUAACAAACUUAAGUACAGUCUAGCGGUAAGAUUGUCAUAUUUAAACUUGGAGACCCAGGUUCGAAUCUUAGCUACACCAUUCUUGAUAUUUUGUUGAAGAAUUUAAAAAACCGCCGGUUCACGGUUCUUAACGGUUCGCACGGUUCGUCCGGUUCGUCCGGGUUUCAACGGUUCUCCAUGAACUUCCGGCUUUAGCAUUAGACCGGACCGGUGACAUGGCCGGUUCGCGGUCCAACCGGUCGAACCGGCCGGUCCGGUCCGGUUCUGAAAACAUUGACUAAAAACACCUUGAUAGCAAAUCAAUACGUAACAACGUAUAAAAAAUCAGUACAUAUAGUAUUUUUUAGUCAAUUGCAAUUACAGAAAGUGAAAAAUGUUAAAUGAUGAUGAUGACGAAGCAAGAAGAAAGUUAUGUAUUAUUUAGAUUUGGCUAUUGUUUUCACGAGAGAGUUCGUCUUCACGAGGAAGUGCCGGACCAAUUGGGGCGGUGAAUUUUUGGAACGCGUCAAUCUCAUUAUCUUUGACAAAACCCAGACGCAAUCAAUGUCAAUUUGCCCACUGCUUAAAACUCCCAAAAUUAGUCCAGCGUUCUUUCGCAUUAGAGUGGUCCCACUUUUGACAACUCACACUUGACUACUCUCAUAAUUUUCGACUGUGGUUGUAUGUUCAAAUAUCUCACUAUUAAAACUUUUUUAACAGUCUCCUUUCUAAUUAGCUUAAACUAAAUUCACAUCUUUCUCGAAUAGAUGGCCAUUCUUUGCCUCUCUAGAAACGACAAAAAUCCCAUCUGAUCAAGUGGAUGCAUGAUUAAUGAAAUUUAAACAACUUCACAACUUCAUAAGUGUGAUUUUUUUUCAAAAUUUAAUAUGAUAUUAUUGUAAAAAUAUUAUAGCAAUUAUGAAUCCGUCAAAUGCUAGAUAAACAUAAAAUACACGAGAAGUUAGAUAAAAUUUAUUGUAAAGCUGAAACUCUAAAAAAAAUUAAAUAAUAUUAUCUUCUUGUGAUCUUUUUAAAAAUUUGUCUAAUAAACAUUACAUAAAUAUUAUGAGAUAAAAAUAACUGUGAGAUUGAAAUUUUAAAAAUAUAAAAGUAAUUAUGUUUCUUACUUAAGUUACAUAUUUUAUACUUUAGAUAAUUACUACAUAUUUUUAUACUAGUUGAAAAGUAAAUUAACAUGAAAAUUUUGUGCAAUGGAUACUUUCUUAGCCAUGAUAACAAACCUUACUUUAUAUAUGCUAUUUAUUUAUCUUUUUCAAAUUGAGGUUACAUUUUAUAAAAAUUUAAAUAUUUUAAAAGAAUUUAUAUUUGAUAAAAAUAAUAUUUUUUGUAAGUGAUCAAAAGUUUAUUGUGACAUGUUUAUUUUUGACAAAAACGCUACAAUUCAUCCCACAAGCCACAAAAAAUAGCUAGCACAAUGUAUUAUAUUGCAUUGUAAGUUUAUAAAUUUAGUUUUUAGAAUUAUAUAUGUCGAAGCCUUUAAUUCUCAUCUAAAAUUAUUUGACUUAUCCAUUCUUCCAACUAAAAGAAUAUAAUCCAUAAACUUACAACAUUAAAAUUCCUAAACUAAUUUAAUUAACAUAACAAGAUUUUUUUUUACUUAUUCAUUUACCAGAUAUUAAUACAAGAUGACUUUUGGUGUCAUACAAAUAUCUAUUGUUGCUUAAAAAAAGGUCUAAAAAUUCUUCACAGUACAAAAAAUGUAAAAUAAACUCUUUAAUGAUGGUUACAUAGCUGAAACUAAUUUCAAAUUAAUGCUGCAAAAAUUUCUAGAACAAUUCAAUUGAAAAUAAGUGCCAAAAUUUUUAAUUCAUUUUGUUAUGAAUUUUUUAGUCAUAUAUAUAUAUAUAUAUAUAUAUAUAUAUACAUACAUACAUACACGCACACACACACACACACACACACACACACACACACAUAAUCUAAGUGCUUGAAAGUUCUCAAGUGUCUUCGGAGCAAUAAGACUCUGGCAACUGGAGCUUGUGGAAUUAUUGAGUAAAAAGAUUAGAAAAUAUACUACAAAAUAGUAUAUUUUUCAAGUACUUUCUAUUAUCUAAUAUUAGUCAAAGAAAAUUAUGUGAUAUGCAACUUCAAUCAGUUUAUGCAGAGACCAAAUUAGGACAACAAAUACUAUUAGUACUUUUUAUUUAAAAAAAAAAAAAGAAGUUACUAAUUGAUUGCAUAACACGCAGUAAAUUAUUCGCAAAAAAAUCUUGUCUUUUACUCCUUUUACCUGGGUCAGCAAGCAAAAGUCCAAAUAAUAUUCUUAUAGCACAGCAAAUUAACGUGCAAGCUUUUCCACCUUAAAAUAGACAUUUUUUAUUCAUAAAAUUGUAUAUGGCCAUAUUCCUUUUUUUUUUUUUUUUACUGAGAUCACGCACCAGAUAAAUGUGUAUUUACACGAUCUGCAAGUCUGCAAGGCAUGAUCUGUCACAAAGACUUGGUCUAGUCAAUGUAAGAAUCUUUACGAAGAAGUGGACGAUUAGUUCAGAAUUAACUUACACUAAAAACAGAGAAACAAAAUAACUUAAAUCAACAUAAACAUAUAUGUUCCAAUAUAGCUGUAUGUUAAAAUUUUAAAACAAGAAUCAUACAGAGUUAAUUUGAGAUUACAAUAAUAUAUUUCACGGAAAAAAAUUGAGAAAAAUGGUCUUAACCAUGGAGAUCAUAUUUGAUCAUAUUUCGGAAAGUAAAUAUACAUAGUGAGUACUUUGAUCUAUUCCACUUGCAUUUUGACAUGAAAGUGUUAAAAGGGUCUAUAUCAUUUCCACUUAAAAAUGUUUUCUUUGGGUUUAAGAAGUUAUACUAUGCAAAAACCAUGCUGACGAGGCAAAGUACAGGACCAUAACUAUAACUAGUAGUAGAAGAUAAAAGGGACUAUGGACUGGUGAAGGAAGAAAGGGACCCCUUUUUUUUUUUUUUUUCCAAAGUCCCAUAUCAAAUCCCAUCAAUUUCUCUUCAAACAAAUCUAGAACCCACUUAAGUACCUCACCCUUUGUUGUAUUUGGUCUUCCCUUCCUUAGCCUCAAGUCUCAACCUCCCCUUUUUUUUGCCGAGUCCAUUGCUCCAUUCAAAGCCCUUCUUCUCAGUCCUCACACCCCUUCUCUCUCUCACUCCAUCUCAAUCUCUUUCCUCUUCUUCUUCAUAUAUGGCCAAAGGAAGUGGACUCUCCUUUGAUCCAGAUCGCAUCGGAUUGUUCCUUCACAAACCAACUGUUAUCAAUUCACUUCUUCAUCAUCAAGAGGACAAAAAAGGCAAACACCACAACAAUUACCGCCACCUCCUCUAUUAUCAUCAUCAUCACAAGUUGAAGCAAGAAGAAGCACCAGCUGCAUUCAUGGAGAUGGAUUCAGCCAGUGCUGUUGUUAACAAGAGUAAUAACAACAGCAGGUCUUCACCACCUACUACUAUUCAAUUCCCAGUUAACCUUAACUGCUCUACCCAUGAUGAUGAUCAAGAUGAUGGUCCCUUGCCUCACAACAACUCUGAUCAUCAUCAAGAAAUGGACUUCUUUGCUGAUAAGAAACUGAAGACCGAUGAAUCCAAGGCAGCCACCAUCCCUCAUCCCGAUGCUAAUACAAAAGAUCUCAGUGGACCUACUGAUUUGGGAUUCAAUGUAAAUGUAAGUUUCGAUCAGAUUCUUGACUGAUUUUUCCUUGCUGGUAGGUCUUUUCUGCACUGGGAUUAGUGCUGAUUACAGAAUUCUUUCUUUUUCUGUAGACCGGCUUGCAUCUUCUCACUGCAAACACUAGUAGUGAUCAGUCAAUAGUGGAUGAUGGAAUCUCACCUCACUCUGAUGAUAAAAGAACUAAAAGUGAGGUAAAAACCACUGAUUUUGAUGCUCUUGUCUGUGUGUGUGACUGUGUGUAUUCCUGUUUAAUUUUUUCUUUUCUCGAUAUUCUUUCCUUUUUCAUUCACACUAUUAACAGCCCCCGCCUCCCUUCUCGAGGUGGGGACUAUUGAGGUGGGGGCUGAUAAUAGUUCUCCGGGGGUUUCCUUUAUAACUUUUCACGUGUGUCAUCUAUGAUCACGUUAGAAAGAUAAUUAUAACAAUGUUCUUCAUCAAAAUCUCAGCUAGCUGUUCUUCAAGCUGAGCUAGAGCGAUUGAACGGAGAGAAUCUACGUUUGAGGGAAGUGCUAACUCAAGUAUCCAACAAUUACAACAAUCUUCAGAUGCAUCUGAUGACAGUGAUGCAGCAGCAGCCGCAGCAAAAACAAGAUCACAUAAAAGCUGACAAUAUUGGUGAAGGACAAGAAGGAAAACUACCACUGGAAGACAACAAUAAUAAGCACCAACAAAACAGUCAUGGCCUAAUGGUGCCACGACAGUUCAUGGAUCUUGGACUAGCUGCCGGUGCCACUGUUGAGACUGAUGAGGCUUCUUUGUCAUCCUCGGAGGGCCGAAGCGGCCGGGAGCGGUCACGAUCACCGACGAAUAAUGUUGAGGCCAGCACAGGUGGUAGUGAUGGGAGAGAUGAUAGUCCAGAAAAGGGUUCGCAAGGAUGGGUUCCUAAUAAGGUUCCAAGACUAAACAGUGGCUCCAAGAAUGUUGAUCAGGCUACUGAGGCUACCAUGAGGAAGGCUCGAGUGUCAGUCCGAGCCCGGUCAGAGGCACCCAUGGUACAAAAUUUAAAUGAAUUAUGUCUAAAGUUAUUUACAAUUGUCAUCUUCAAAUCCAAUGGCCUUUUCAUUGAAUUAAUUGGAAAAAUUAAUGUUCUUGUUGGUUUGAUCAGAUAACUGAUGGUUGUCAAUGGCGUAAGUAUGGACAGAAGAUGGCUAAAGGAAAUCCAUGUCCCAGAGCUUAUUACAGAUGCACCAUGGCCGCUGGCUGCCCAGUUAGGAAACAAGUAUGUGUUUUGAAUUGCUAGUAAAAUGAUUAAUGGCCGAAUUCUAAAGCUAAAAUAUUUUGAUGAAGUUAGUACUUAAAAGUAGUUAGUAGAGAUUAUGUAUUACCACGUGUUAUUCUAGUGUGAACCCUUCUAAAAAUAAAUCUUUUGACUCAUUCAUUUCAACUGCAGCAUGAUCUUUUAGACCCACCUACUAUUUUUUCUAUCCUCUUCAAAUUUGUCAUUUUCUUGUUUCUUUUUGUGCUUUCUUGAAUUGCCACAGAAAAACAAUCAAAUUUGGUAUUCUCCAGUGUCGGUAAAUUUUUUUCUUUUUUUUUUUUAACUUAAGGUUAAUUUUGCUGCAUCAACAGGUUCAAAGAUGUGCUGAGGACAGAACAAUUCUAAUCACAACAUAUGAAGGCAAUCACAACCAUCCAUUACCACCAGCGGCGAUGGCUAUGGCUUCAACAACAUCAUCAGCUGCAAGAAUGUUGCUUUCAGGAUCCAUGCCUAGUGCUGAUGGAUUGAUGAACUCAAAUUUCCUAGCCAGAACACUUCUCCCUUGUUCAUCAAGCAUGGCUACAAUUUCAGCGUCUGCACCAUUUCCAACUGUUACAUUGGACCUUACACAAAAUCCAAAUCCAUUACAAUUCCAAAGAUCUCCGAACCAAUUCCAUCUUCCUUUCCCUAAUGCACCUCAGAAUUUUGUAGGCAAUCCAGCAGCACUUUUACCACAGAUUUUUGGGCAGGCAUUGUAUAAUCAAUCAAAGUUUUCUGGCCUACAAAUGUCUCAAGAUUCAGAUGCUGCCCACUUAGGCCAUCAAGUCCCACAAUUGCCACCAUUGCACCAAGGCCAGCAGAAUCCCUUGGCUGAUACUGUCACUGCCCUCACAGCUGAUCCAAAUUUCACUGCAGCAUUGGCAGCAGCAAUCACCACUAUCAUUGGGAAUCCUCAGUCAACAAAUGCAGCAAAUAACAGUAGUCUCAAUAUUACAACCAACACCAGCAACAAUAAUGGAAGUGUUACUACUAGUAACAACAAUAGCAAUGGAAACAAUAAAGUCCUCAACACAAGUUUUCCAGGGAAUUGAAAGUGAAGCUACUUUUCUUUUUCUUUUUAUUUCUUUUACUUCUUUUUUCUUCCUUAUUUGGCUUUACAUCAUUUUGUUUUACUAGCAUAAUACAAGUGUUCAUUAUUUUGGGCUUGGAGAGUUGGCUUAAACAUAGAUCAGUCCCUUUUGAUUAUUUCUUUUUUUUUUUUGAAUAAUGUAAUUCAAAUGUAUGACUCAAAUAUAUAGAAAAUAAAAUACUACUGCAAACGAAAAGAAAUUCCUAUGUACUAGCUUUUAUUGUUAUCUUUUGUACAUACACAUAUGGAAAAUUUGAGGAGCAUGCUUGAAAGGGAUCAAUUUAUUCUCAUUCAAAUAUUCUUUUUGCUUUUGUCACUAUUCUUGAUAGUUGUCUCAAUAUAGUGCCAAGAACAUAGGAAAAAAAGUAACAUUAACAUUUAGCAAAAAGGAGAUAAAAAGGGAACAAAGCUGGAGAGAAUGGUUGAAAUGUUCUUUGCAACUUUUUGUUAGUGUAUUUAUCUACAUAUACGUGUUGGAAAGUCCAUCAAAGUCCCUAUUGAUAUGGCAGUCAAGUAAGGAGUCAAUAAAACCGUCUCAAAGUUGUUAGAAAUUGAGGGGUUGGUUUGACACGGAAAGACGAGAGAAAAAAAGGAGGAAAGAGUGAGAGAAAAAAAUGAUAGAAAAGGGUGGAAAUGAAGAGGAAAGAUUUGGUUGCUUGUCUCUUUUGAAGUUGUCUUUUAGCAAUUUGGUCCACUAUGACAAAUGGUAGAGAUGAAGGAUUAAGAUGGAGAGAUAUCUACACGGCAACGUUCUUUGAUGUUGAAAACCAAACCAAUCGUUGUUGAUUUUGCGUGCAUGCAACUUACUUGUCAUGCUACUAGUAAGGUACGCAGUUGGAAAAAAUGUACAUUAGUUUUUCCUCGAAUUUAUUUCAACUUUAUGGCUUGUUUAUGGAAAAUUUUUGGAAGACUACACCAUAACUUGUUGGACCAAAUCCACAUUGCACUCUAAGCUUUAUAGCAUUGUUCACAUUCAACUAUAAGUAUUAAUUGUGAACAAUAUACACCCUAAAUUAUUUGUCCAAUAUUAAAAGGUGUUAAAAGAAAAGUUGACAAAAAUCAAACACUUCAGCACCACGUUUGUAUUUUGCACCAUUGAGCUAUAUAUAGAUACUCAUAUUGCAUUUCAAACUUCAUUUUUACAACACAUUGCAUCUAAAGCAUUUGAAUUGUUUCAAUUUGAUCCAAAAUCACGAAUAGUACUUGAAAAUUUUAUGGGAUUAGAGGUUAGUGAAUUCAAAUACUAGCUAUUGCAUCAGUGCUUCACGGUGACAUUACUACUUUUAGAUUUUCAUAAGAUUGUUGCUUUAUUCCAAAGAAAAAGAACCAACUUAACUGAAAGGAUCCCCCAAAAAAAAAAAAAAAAAAAAAAUCUCUAUAGUAAUAACAAAAUAAGUUGCUUACUUUUUUCCAACUAGUUGAAAUCUUUUAUGGGCUGACUAACCAUGUAACAACAAAAGUGAAGUUAAUGCCACAAACAACACUGCACUAGAUAAACUAGGCUUAUGCUUUGUUACUUGGUGAGUUACAAUUAUCACUGCUACCAAUAUAAGGAAAAUGUGUAAUGUAUGUUUAAAACAAAGUGUAAAGUUUUUGGCUAAAUGCAGAAAAGUUGGGCUUGAUUUAUCAGCCAAAUGGAGGAAAUGUCUAUCAAUUAUUUUUGACAUAUAAAAGUGGAUUUUCUUUAUAAAAGAAUAUCGAUGAUAAAAUUAAAUUUGAUUCUCAUGUGUCUAUGAUUUUGUCAAUUUUUUAAAGACAUUAAUGGUUGGACUAAAAUGAAAAAUUAUUUUAGCGUGCCAAAAGGUCUCAGAGUGAAGUUUGUGGUGCAGAAUGGGGAGCAAUAAAAUGUUUCUAAUUGAUGAAAGCUUUAUGCUCACAUGAUGUUAUCCAUCAUAUUUUAGUUAUUUAUCGGAAAAAAUGUGAAGGAUUAUUUACAGCGUAAAGUGUCUACAAUUAAAAUUUAGAUUGCAAAUUAAAAUUGACAUAAAAUUCAAAGAUAUAAAGUGAAAGGAGUGAAUUUCUUGCCAGAUUUGAUUUUCAGAAUAGUUAUAUAUUGAAUAUGCUAUCAAUUACUGAGUAAAUUGCUGAGUAAUUGUAUCAUUAUUUCAUGGUAGCGGUGUCUACAUCUCCAUAGACGACUUGGAAUUGAGAAAAUUGCCAAUAGUGAAGGCAAAAUUAAUGGCAUUUUUGUAUCCUUUCUCCUAUCACUUAUCUUUCCACAUGACUUGUGAAUUACGUAAUGAAAAAAUAUCUUCAUAGUUUCAAACUUGUCUACAUUCUCAAGUGGCAUCUAGUAUGUUACAAACAUAUUAAUUCCCAAAUCGUCAAUCCCUAUUGGAAAAAUACAACCUUGAAUUGCCAUUUCGGGGACCAUAAACUCAAGACUUUCCACCACUUCAUAAAAGGCCAAAUAAUACCCAUUCCAACGGGGCCAGGCAUGUGCGGGUGUGGCAUCAAGCAAAGCAUGUUAUUCAAGAAAAUGACAUUUGAGGAGUCAAUACAAAGUCUAGAUGUAUCAGGUACCUUCCUCUUGGAUCUUUAUAUAAGUUGACCGAGUCCAUCAAAGAAGAUAAACACAUACCUACAUACAAAUAUAUUGUUGAUUAGUUUAGUGGGGUUUUCUUAUUACAUAAAAAAUCUCUCUGCUAAUUGAUGGAAUCAAGGGAGAUUCAUGUAAUCUUGGAUUAAUUAGUGAAGACUUUGCUGACCCCUGUGGGGCCCUAAGAUGAUGAAACACACAGUCACAUACUGACUCUUGGUUGAGUUGAAAUAGGGAACCUAGCAGCUUAAUUGUUGUCACAUGUAAUCCAUCUGCAAGUAGUGAUUAUAAUCUAAGUCUAGUUGUUCGAUUGUAUCCCACAUAAAAUAUAUAUAUAUAUAUGUUAACCAUUCAGGAUAAGGUUGCAAAUUUUUUUCAACCCUCAUUGAAUGUGAUACAGUCAACAGUGUACACACAUUACACACUGAAACACACACGUUAAUGUGUUUGUGUGUGUCUGUCAUGGUUUAUCUCCUCUUCUUCUUCUUUUUUCCGGUGGUCAUUUAUAUUUAGAUGAAUGCUAAAGGUGUCAACUGUUCAUGUGAGCAAGGGAAUCCUCGAGGAGCUUUCAAGUGAAGUUUUUUGCCUUGUUAGCUGAAUAAAAAUCCUCCUUUAAUGACACGUCCGUUCCCUUUCAUGAGCUGCUUGAUUCUAGUGAAUUCUAUUCUUCAGAAAGAUUUAUCAAACACUUUAAAUUUGAGUUAAAAUUGGGAAGUUUUCAACUUUACAUUAGAAUAAAUAUCUCGAAAAUUGCGAGGACGAGCUUGCAAAUAUUUUACUUGUGCCUAUGAGCUUCUUAAGCAAUGAAACAUGGGAAUUGAAAAUUUGUUAUGUGCAAGAUCUGCAUUCUCCUUAUUCUCUUGUGAAGUUCACAUCAUUGGUUUGUUGCUACCUAUGCAUAGGGUUGUCAUAGUAGCACAAGCAAUUGUCCAAUGAUGAAGUAACUUGUUGCUUUAUCUUUACGAAGGAAGAGAUAACAACUUGGUGCUAAUUAGACACAGUUUGGAUUGAAGGAAAGUAGAGAGGAAUCAAACGAAAAGGAAAAGGGUGGAAAGAAAGGAAAAGAAAAGCAUGUUAUCACUCAGAAUCAAUAUUCACUACAUCAUUUCCUAUUCUUCACACACUGUUAAAAUGUUUUUUAAGCUAGAUGAUAAGAAUAUACGUCAAAGAAAACACAUAAUAGGGGUGUACAAGAAAUUUUUUGAGGUAUAGGUUAAUCCUCUAUAAACUAUAACCUUUGAAUGUGCGACAAUUAAUCUUAAUUUGAAUUUAAAAAUUUUGUAUAUAUGUCAAACAUUUAAUCAUAAUAAUGUGUACAUUAAUAGUGUAUAUAAGAUUACUUUUUUUUUCUUAUUAUUGUAAGACUUGAUUAUCAAUCGUUGGUUAAUUAAAACAAAAUUUGGAAGAUUACAUGAUUAUUCGGGCCAUUGAGGUGCCACUUGGGCCAUCAUGAAAGAACCAGGACUCACUGGACUCGCUUGGGCCAUUAUCAAACGACCAGGACAGGACUUGAUCCAAUCAAUGUGGACUUAAUCCUACAGAUGGACCACUUGAUCUGAUUAACGGAUUAUUUUAUGCUGGUAAUUUCAACUGGGCCAAGCUCUUAAAUUGUACAGCCCACAAUUCCUAAUAUAAUUGUUGUAGUACUAAUUAUUUAUGGGUAAAUUACUUAUUAUCUCCUAUAAUUUUAUAUAAUGCCAUGACCUCUAUAAGAUUUCAAAAUAACCACAUAAUCCCCUAUGAUUUAUUUAAAAUGAAAAAUAGACGGAAUGUAAAAUCAGUUACCUCGUUUAUACCAAACACGCUCUAAAAGCAUGUCUGCUAAAAUCUUAAACUCUAUGUAACCUCUUUAUAAUUUGUAUAAAUAUUCACGUUACCCUCAUGUGAUUUUUGCAAAGUAUAAAAAGGUAAUUAAGUUGUCAAUUGAUUUAACAUUUAAGUAAGAGUCCUAUUGAUAUUUUAAUUAAUGACAUUAUAUAGGUUAUUUUUCUUCAAGUUUCGAAUUUAUAUAAAAUCACAAGGAGUGAAGUUGACAUUUUGAAACUUUAGGGAGAUCAUGUGAUAAUAGACGAAACCAGGGGUUAUAAAUAAUUCAUCCUUAAAAUUAUCAACUGAAGCGCACGAAAAAACAGCACCAAGACGUAAUAAGCUUCAACUUAGCGAAUGAUAUUACGUAGAAUCACGUGUUAAGUUCGUCACAUGACUCCUCCUUCGGCAGCCAUGGUCAGUAUAUAGACAAAGAUAAAGAAAGUAACAAAUUUAUAACCUAUGAUUUCAUGUAAAAGUUCUUCCAUCAAUAACAUAAUCGAAUGAAAGAAGUUCUUACUUGACCCGUGGUUGGAAUGCUUGGAGGCUUCCCAUCUAUUCUUUUUUCUCUUGCCUUGCCGUUCCCUCUGUCUCACUCUUACCUUCCCCUUCUUUUGCUAGUUAAUUGUAAGAGAAAUUAAAAAAAAAAAAAGUGUUGGGAAAGGGUACCAGGUGCGGAUGCACAAUAUCAGAGUUAACUCAGGACAAAUUACUCUUUUUCCAAGUACCCGUUAAAAUAGAAACAAACAAAAUCACUAAACAAUGAUGUCAAUAGUAAUAAUAAAAUGCAGAACAAUAAAAGGCAUAGGACACCAAGAUUUUUAACGUGAAAAACCCAAAUUGAAAAAAAUCAUAGGAUCUAGUCCAGUAAAAAAAAAUCUCCACUAUCAUAAUAAUGUGAAUACACAAGUCUACCUGAAAUAUUCGAAUGACAACAAUAUCACCAAUAUCAAUCAAGUAAAAUUGCUACAAAAUCGCCCCUAAAAGCUACAACUGUCAAAGAAAUAGAUUUGGAAGGAUAUUAUCAAACGAAGAGGAAAUUUAAAAUCUGAAUCAAUAGAUAGGUAGAACUUGACGAGAGAAUCAUGUGGGUAAAAUUUCGUUUCAAUCGGUUUCGAAUCACCAUCCAAUCAACACUUUGAAGCUUUGUCUCUCUCAAAUUUCUCUUCCCAAAUUUCUCCCUCUUCGUUUCACUCCAAAAGCAUCUGGAGCAUUUUUUUUCACGUUUUAAGAAUGAAAACCCGCGGCCACUUGUACUAGUCAAGUUGAUUAGUGUGCAACGUCAUCUCAAGUCAAUUUCAUAAAUUGACUUAGAAAUCUAAAGGGCUUAAGUUGUGGUUUGGCCCACCAAAUGGGCUGGAUCACAAGCCUAACAAAAAGGAAGGGUUUUAGUUCUAUAAGCACAAAUAUUUUCGAUGUAAUUACAUAUAUAUUAUGUUUCUAAAUUUGAAUGCCCCGUCCCCGUGUAAUAUCAAUAGGUUUAAAUUACUCAUGACCUCUAUGUACUUUUGCAUGAUACCACAUUACCCCUCUAAGGUUUUAAAAUACCUACACAACCCUCCUAUGGCAUUAGAUUUCCUAAACAUAUCGAAUUAUAUCUGGUUGAAGGUAGAUUAAUGGUACUAUUCAAAAAAAUAAACAGGACCUUAAUAGAAAACUAAAAACAAAUAUGAAAAUGUGAGACAAAACGUAUAUUGUUAAGAGGAAAUUUGCAGGAUAGAAUAUGGAACUUUAACAUGCACUAACCUUUACUUUCAUCAAUUAGUCUAAUAUUACAAUGACACGAGAAAUUUAGGGGAAAUUUGCCAGAUGGAAUGCUGAACUCUCAUAUUUCAAAAAACAUGCGAUCAUUUGUUUUAGAAGGUCCAAUUGCCAUGUGAAUCCAUAACUAAAUACAGUAGAGAGAGGAGGUACAAUUGUUUUAGAAGCUAUGCGGUUCAUUAAAUUAUCUCCUUUGCAAUGGAAGACAAGUACACUAAACCUAAAGCAAAAAUCAACUAAUAUGUUCUAAUAAAGUAGAGAGUAACAAUGUCAGAAGAACAUUAUGGACACAUGACUUGAUCCUUUAGGAGACAUUAACAGCUCAUUUUCAAACAUUGCACGUAUAUCACCCAGAUAUUUGGAAUUUAUUAAUAACUCUUCAAGAACCGAUGCACUCUGCAGCAAAAACUUCAUAAAUUUAAUGUCAGCUGCAGUGCCCCUGUACUCUUCAUACUUGACUACCUUCAGAUGAGAUAAACAAGUUGUGAAGGCAUCAUUUCAAUUUCCUUGAGAUCGUCACCAUCACCAUCCGUGGCAUAAGUAUACAGUCAAAGUGUCAGCCAACAAAAGAGAAGUGGCCACCAAGUAAAGGAACUUAACAACCAUUGAGCUUGGCUCUUGGGCUGUGGGUGGGACUUAAAAUCCCUCCUUGGGCUGUGGGUGGGAGUUCAAAUCUCACCUACAGUGAAAAAAAUUUAAAGGUGGUGCCAAAACAUCCCCUUGAUCUAGUAAAACUUGUGUAUCUUCUAGUUCCCAGCACAAGCCUCUAUGGGUUCCCCCUCCCUUGUAGUUUAGGAUAGAAUAGGUUAGGGAUGGCAAUUUCUGACAUGACCUGAAAAUAUUACACGAACCUAACACAAAAUUUAAUGGGUUUGGAUUGAAAAUUCACGGGUUUGGAUCAGAAUUGAGUCGAACCCGCUAAGAAAACAGGUCGAAUUCGGAUCAACCCGUGAGUGACCCGACAUGACCGGAUAACCCGUUUACGAAUUAAAAAUAAUUUAAUAAACAUAAAAAUUAUUCUAUCUAACUAAACUAAGUUAUUCUUUUUUCCAAAGGCAUUAAUCACUUAAUCCUAAAUGAAUUUAUUUAACUUGUGUGAAGUUGAAAUUAUUAUAUUUGGACAAAUAAUGUAUUAUAUUAUUUUUUACUUUUAUACUGUUCUAAUUUAUUUUAUAUUUGGUUUGGGAUAAAACAAUUUUACGGUAUUUUAAUUUAUUUUGGAUUUGGUUUGGGAUUAUUUAUUUAAAUUUUUAUUACUUGAUUAUAUAAUUAGUUUUGUGAGAAAUUGAUUUUAUUAGAAAUUACAGUGACAAAUUAAUAAAUUAAAAUUAAAUUUUGGGUCAUUUCAGGUUGAUCCGCCAACUCGAAAUUUUUGGGUUUGGGGUCUGGUAUCCUGACUCGUUUCGGGUUGACGGGUCAGGUUCGGGUUAGCGGGUUUUCUAUUAUACCCGGAUCUCAACCCGAUUUGAGCUUGAUUGCUCCCCUAAAAUAGAUUAUACAACAGUUAUCGUCUCGAAAAAAAAAAGUAAAGGAACUUAACAAACAAAGCCCCUUGUAUGCUGUACCAAAAUAUGAACUCUAUUCUCAAUUAGUAAAUCAACAAAUAACAAGAGAAUAAAAGUUUAGACACCAAUUCUAAUUUUUGUACGUCACUAUAUUUCAACUGCAAUGCCAAGAAUAUUACUGUUAAAGUAGUGAACCACCACUCCUCAGUAGAGGCAACAAAGGGCAAUACCUUAAACCUAGAAAAAGAAAAAGAGAAAGCUGCUUCUCUGAGAUCGCUCCUAUUGAAUUCUCUGCUCUUUACAUUAAGAGUUGAAGUAAGAAUUAAUUCUUACAAAAGUGGUGACUGGCGACUGAAGGAAAAUAUUCAAGAUCCAUUUACCCCUUCAGCUGCUGAUUCAGCCAUGGAAAAGCAUGGCUGAUUCAGCCGGAGAUGACUGAUUUACCCCUUCAGAUGACUGAAAAGCAUCCCACGAUUUUGCAAUCAAAAUUUUGCUAGCAUUUCAAACAAUAACACUGUAGAACCAGACUUCCCAGAAACCAACCAACGGGCUAACAGAUUUGGUUUAAAAAGUAAUGAAUAAAAGAACUUUCACAAACUAACAAUAUUGACUUUGAAGAUCAGCAUUGUGGCAUGUGUAAUAAACCAUACACGCACAAAUCCAGGGAAAGAGAGCCAUGAAGAGGGGGGAAAUUAUAGUUACUUUGAUUUUGGGAAAUGGUGAAUGAACAUUAUUACUUACACCAGUAAAAGUGAGCAAUUCAAGAGCUAGUGCCCUCUUGAGCAAGUCAAUUAGUGCUUCACUGAACUUGUUACCUAGUCUACCUGAAUAGACUUGGAGGUCGGUCGGCUUAUGAAAAAUUGGAAGAGGACCCGAUCUUUCUGCAUGGGUAGCCUAGGGAUUAAUUAAAGUUAAGCGUCAAUUAAAGAGAAUGAUGAACAACACAAUGAUGUUGUCUAAAAAGAGUGUUCAGCCAAGGUAGAUAAUUAAGAGCCAAAUCAUAGCGAAGUACAAAAUUGGAAAUGACCAAAGACAAAUUUAUCCAGUCUCCUCCAUAUAAGUAGUACAGAUCUCGUGGCACUUGUACUUGGUGGGUAAAAUAACAACUUCAGAAUAGUUCUCAGAGAGCACCCAGUGGAAGGAGAAAUUAACAAUCUCAGGUAACAAGUAUUGCCCUUGAAAAUUCAUCCUUUUAACCUUCUCGAUUUUUGCCUUUGUGAUAGAAUGACAAAUGCUAAAUAGCAAUAGACAGCACAAGAAUAAAAGAAUAAUUCACAGAUUCUUUUCCUAAAUUAAAAUGUUUUAUCCAUUUCUUUUUUCAUGUUCUCCAUUAGUGAUUUCUUUGAUAACUUUGUCUGUUUUUUCUAAAAAUAAAAGAAAAAAAAAGAAUUCUCUAUUUUCUUGCAGACCAUAUUUAUCGAUGGCUUAUUGCAAAUGGAUAUAUGCUGCUGAAUCCAGGAUGAGUGUUGGACAACAUAAUGAAACAAAAGAUGAUUGAAAAAGCAAGUUCAGCUAGUAAUUAAAAGAAGGGUUUGCUAGAAUAAAAUGAUGGAGCAAUAAUGACAGCAUGCUCUGUAUGAAUAAAGAAACUGCAAGCAUUCUCUUAGACAUCAUUCUUCAUUAUCAAGUUACUCACAGAGCAUGCAAACAAUGUGAAAGACGCAAGCUUUGAGAAACUAGAUUACAGAAUCCAUUUUGCCACAACUUAUCUCAUCAGCUCUCGAUCUGAUUACAAAACAUACUACUCUCAGUUUUAUGCAUUACAUCAUGUAAUUUAUGAUAAGCAUGUCUCUAAUGCUUCAGCAGAGGUUAGGCACAGUUCAUAAACCAGCCCUCAACAAAAAAAUGAUAAUGCAUCCAUGGCCAUAUGCAGUUACAUGAUCUAUCGAAGAGAUUUACAUACUUUUUUUAAAGAAACAAAGAUGGGGCAAAAAAAAAGCCCAUCAUAAUAAGAUGAAGAAGGAAUUAACCUCAAUGAUGGGGCCGGGUAAUUCAAGGCAUCCGAUGAUAGGUGAGAAUCCUUGCAACAGUGUGCAAGCUCGAAAGGCAUUUAUUGAAGAAGAUCUUCAGGGAUGAAUAAACACAAAGGAGAUGCUACAACUACUGUUGACAGACUAGACAAGACAAACUUUUCUAAACAACCCCUACCUCUACACAAGAAUUUGGUAAGUUCGUUAGAACAAAUCUCCACUUCAAAUUCAGUUGAUCCAAUAUCACAAACAUAAUCUGUAAUCUCAAAGCUGGCAAGCAUAGGAGCAUCUAGUUUACUACUCUUCGCAAAGGACUAUUGACAUUUCUGAAAAUGAAGCUUUUCAAGGACUGGGAAGGUGAAUAGAUUCCUGGUGCUCUGUAAGCCAAGACUUUGAAUACAAACUGAAGAAGGGGCUAAAAUUUUAAGGUUUGAAUGAAGAGAGUCGUCAGGAAGACGAACAUCGCGUACUCGAAGCUUCAGCUCAAUUACGGAAUCACAACUAAAGAAAAUUUUAGGGAAAUUGAGGGGCCCAUCAUACCGAAUAUCAACCUUCUUAACUGUACACCUUAGCAUGGCUGACAUCGAUGUUUUCACACGACUAUGGUCAUAGUUCCAACGGCAAAAAAGCUGCAGUUCUUCAAACACCGUAUUCCUACAAAGUAAAAGUACCCUCUCCACAAAGCUCAUGAAUCUUCCCCUUUUAGCCUUAUUAUUGCAUGCCUCAAAAUUGCAUAAAUUAUCAUCAAAGCUGAUAUUGUAAAUGGAAGUCCAUCUGUACACCCAUUCUGUUGACAACACGCUAGUUCGAACAGCAUCUUUUGUCGGAAGAAGGGAUAGGAUGUGACUCAAAAUAUUUUCUGGUGGAUUACUGAUUCUGUCUGCUUUAUCCUCAUCACUUGUUGCUCUAUAGCAACAUUUCUUACUAAGACCGCUACUUCUAUCCAUUUUUUCAAUGUUUCAACCUGGGAAAAAAAAAGAAACAAAAGAAGAAAGUAAGUGAAAAAAAUGGUCCAGAUCAGAUGAAAACCCAUCAAAGCAAAUGUUGGUAACUCAAUCUUCAAGCUAACAAUCUCCAAUCUUGAAUUUCCAACAAGAAAAUGUUAAAAGAAGAAGAAGAAGUGUCUGUGACAUCACAUACUAUUGUUACUGAAAAUAUUCCUAACAGGCAUUUUCACAAAAGUCUAAUAGGCUCAAAAAGAAAAACCCAGUUGACUAGAAACUCCCAAGUACAAUUGAUUUGACAAUUUCUCCUGCUUCCUUUUCUUCUCUAUCCAAACAAGGAGAUAUAGAAACAUGAAAAAGUAAACAUUUUCAUUUCAUUAAUCACUAUAAAGAUCUAACGAAUGUGUCCUCUCCCUACUUCUUCAAUCCCAUCCCUCCCUGCCGGAAAAAAAAAAUUCAGAAAAGCGGAAGAUGUUGUGGCUCACCGAAAGAAUUUGCUUUGGUGAUAGCUUAAGUUGUAACGACCCCACCUCCCCCUAAGGCGAACCAAAGGGUUUAGCGGACCGCCUGCCCAGCUCUCGCCGGGACUCACUCACUUACUACAUUUCUCAAGUAAAUUACAAGGUACAACUCAAAUAAUACAUCCAAUUCUCCAAAAUUACAUAUCAUAAGCGAAGCGGAAACUAGUUCUAAGCGUAAAAUGUAGAUUUACAUCCGAUUCAAUUCCAAAUAUUUAUACAAGCCCAAAAGUACACAAACCAAAACUAAAACUAAACUAUACAAGAUGUACGCCAUCCAGCCACACAAAGAUCCAAAAACAAGUUUUUCCUUUACUUCGAUCCCUGUGGGGAGAAGAAGAUAAUAGGGGGUGAGCUAGAAGCUCAGCGAGUGACCAGUAAAAUCAACAGCCAAGUAUAUUUCACAAUAAAGCAUUGAUAUGAUGUCAUGAUGCAGUAAUCAAAUGUUCAUUUAUUGCUCAUGUGAGCCAGUGAAGUUCUUGUACUUAAAUAUCCAAUCCUCGUUUAGAUCAGGUAAUCAUGAAACAGAAGUAAGGAGCCAUCGUACUCCAAAGAAUGUGUAAACAAUAGUGGAGACAUUGGUUCUAAGCACAAGACUUUCCAGGAACUCAUUGGAGCCAAAUUAUGUCAUGGCAUACACCCAAACCCAAAUGAUAUGCAAUGGAGUAAUAAAUGUAGGAAUUAGUUCAAAAGUAACUUUGGAAAUAGUUGAGGGAUCACUCACUCAAACUAUAGUGCCUGAAGUAGUCACGUUCAAUUAUACUCCGGAUUUGGAGUCCAGAUUUGCGAUAAAAAUCCGAUUUGAGAACUUUGAAACACGAAUAAGAUUUGAAACUUAAACGUUCCGUUCAUAAGAAUCAACCAAUUGAAAUUCAUUUGAAAGGCAUUCGUGAAACACUUGCUCGCUUUUCAAAUCAUAAGGUUUUUGUAGCAUAUAUACUUGGAAACAAUACUUGAAUUGAAAGUACAAGGAAAUACAAGUUUACAUUGGCCAUUAUAUCUUUUCUUCAAGAGUACAAGUUCGUUUAGGUUUUUAACGUAUAACCAUCGAUAACAAAGUAGCAAAAGUUCUCGCUAGUUCAAGUGGUAAUCACUUAACCUUCACUCAAGUUGCAAAUAUAAUUUUCUAGUUCUCGAGUAAAAAUUCGGGCAGCAUGCCCUUUGCGUUUACCUAAUUUUCCAGCCAUUUAGGCUUCAUUAUUUUUCCUCAACCAAAACCCAACAUCACAUAUAUCAGCAAUUCAUGUCAAGAGCCGUUCCAUAGGCUCACAAUAUCAUAAGAUCAAGAUUCACAAUAAUAGCAAGUGCAGAAAUUCAAUUUAGCAAAAGACAGCUUUGACGUAUGGAUGCGGAAAUAACAUAUCCGAGGCUACGCUUAUCGGAUUGAGGCGCAACCUAUGCCGUUUCGAAGCUAAGACUCAGGGAUACAAUGUUCAUGAAGGUCACUUAGUCCAGUUUCUAAUGUAACUUAGUCAAAUCCUCAAAUUACAGAACCAAAAUCCACUUUGUCGGCUGUUUAACCGCAUUACACUGUAAUGGACAUAUCUCAGGUUGCAAAAGUCCAAUUCUGGUGUUCUUAGAGGCAUUUGAAAGCUAAGUCAGAAUACUACAACUUUCAUGUUUUGGAAAAAAGCUAAAUCAGUACGAAUCCUAGUCAAAAAACGUGAUAAACUGGACAAACUGAUCACACGGACUGCUGGGGAAAAACUUAAAACAGUAAGGGUAUUUUGGACUUUUCAUGACCUACGUUGCUCCAAUUGAGCUGAAAUUUUGUAGGGACCUAUAAAAUACCAUUCUCUACAACUUUUAUUCUUUGACCUAAGGCCAAUUCGGCAUCUAACAUAGGGUUACAAAAUCGGACAGAAUGUUGGGGAAAAUUUUCCAGAUUCUGGAAUUUUUUGUAAUCAAUGGAACUUUCUAAAUUUUCUUGUUCUAAUCACUACCAAAGCCCCUUAUAAAACCUCAAUUGCAAUAUAUAUAUAUCAUACAUCAAAUUGGGCAGAAAUUCCCCAAGCCCUAGUUCAUCAUAUAAAAGGGGAAAACUUCCAAAUUCAUCACACCCACUUGCAUAAUCAUGAAAUCAAACCAAAACUUAAGCUAAAAACACAUCUUAAAGCAAGAUUCAAAGCAACAAAGAUCAUGAUCAAAUGUUGGUACCUCAAAAACAAGGCUUGGUAGAGUGAUCCUUCACCCCCUUUGAUAUUUCUUGGUUCCUCAAGCUUUCUAACUCACAAGCUACCCUUUAAUCGGUUUGGAUUUGGAUUUGUUACUUGGGUUGAAGCAAAUCAAGAAGAUGGAAUUGUUUUCCUUUGGUGUUUUUCUCUCUUGUCUCUCUCGGCCAAGCAGCAGCAAAAAUGAAGGGGAAAGUUGUAAAAUUUGGAGUUAAAUGGAAAGACCAAGUCUUGGUCAAGAAGCUCUAAGGUGGCGACACUUGUCGCCACCACUACCUUCCAUUUUUCUCUUUCUUUUCCUUUGCAUUUUAAGCCUCAUAAUUCGGUCAGCCUUAGCUGUAAUUUAAGAAGAUAUUUUGCUCAAAUUCAAUAAGCUAGUUUGGUAAGAAAAAUGGUGAUCAAGUGGUGCGUUCAAUCGGUAGUGCGCGGGACCCGCCGGUUCGCGCCGUUUUUCUUAAAAACUCACGUACUAGGGUUUUUACUUCCCAUUCACUAACCUUAUAUCAUUGCUACUAGUCACAUAUUAUUUCUCACUUAAAAGUCACUUUUAAUUCCCAAAUUUAAUCCUCACUCUGUACCGAAAAUUCAUCCGGCGAAAAAUUACAAAAACCCUAGUUUUGCUCCAAACUUGAAACCGAAGUGUGAAACCAUACUUUCUAGGUUCAUUGGCACUCUUUGUGGGAUGAUUGAGUAGUAGGGCCAUUAUAAAGUGGUAUUUGUCAAAGAAAAGGGAAUUUUAAGAAAAAUAUAAGGAAUUUGCACGGCUUCUGGCCGAAUUGCCCACAAAACACUAUUCACCAGAAAUUUCUCCCUUUUCUUCUGCCUCAGGGCGUUACAACUCCCCUCCUUAAAAGAAUGUCGUCCUCGACAUUCCAACUUGUACUAAUCAGAUCAAAAUAAUUCUCGAAAGUCGAUCACGUAUUAAGAAUCAUUUCAAUCUCGCUUAUCAUAAUCAAAUACUAAUCAGAUCAAAUAUCACAAAGGUCAAUCACAUACUAAGAAUCACUCAUCACAAUCAAGUACUAAAAGUACUCCAAUCCAACUUAUCAAAUAAUCUUGAUCCAAUAGAUAGUCAGACGAGUAACUGGAUACAUAUACAAAAAGGGCUCGAAAUCGGACUUAAAGUCCCUGAUAUUUGGAAAAACAAUUCAGGACAUAACGAUAUCUCAGGUCAGAAAUUACCCCUGGUGGUGCUUUAUAACACAACAAGCUAGCACUCAGCUAUACUUCACCAGAGCCUCAGAUGCAAGAUUUUGUCCAUGGCGGUGCUGGACAACACAACAGGUUAGCACAACGGCUAUACCUCGCCAAAGAAUCUCAGUUCAAAAUUUCAUCCUUGGUGGUGCUUUAUAACACAAUAAGUUAGCACAACGGCUAAACUUCACCAGAGGAUCUUAGCUCAAGAAAUUGGCCCUGGUGGUGCUUUAUAACACAACAAGUUAGCACAACGGCUAAACUUCACCAGAGAGCCUCAAGUCAAUGUUUCAUCCCUGAUGGUGCUUUGAAACACAACAGGUAUGCCUCGCCAAAAGAAUGGCGGUGCUUGGUAACACAACAGGCAAUACCUCAUCAAAGAGGUUCAGUUCAAGAAUUUCAUCCCUGAUGGUGCUUGGAAACACAACAGGUAUGCCUCGCCAAGAGAAUGGCGGUGCUUGGUAACACAACAGGCUAUACCUCAUCAGAGAGGUUCAGUUCAACCGCUACAGAGGAGUAGUAGCCGGUCUACAACGAAACAAGUACGAAAAUGUUCAGAAACAGAGUCAAAAGCAGGGUUCAAGUAUAUCGGUUCAAAAGCAGUGUCAAUUAUUUCAGAUUCAAGGGACACGGGUACGAGGAGAAACUCACUCGCCUAGCUUAUGCCCAGUAAUUCACACUCUCAAGCAGUCAUCAAACUGAAAUCCACAUACAGAUCAUAUAUAAAUCAAGAUACUUGCUCAAGAGUAAAAGAGAUACCCUAUUUUCAGUUAGGUCAGGUCUAUCCAGUGUAUGUAAGGGUACACUAGCCGAUUCAAAUUCAAGUCUACUUACAGGUCGUAUACAAACCAAACUACUUGCUCAUGCGUAAAUGAAAUACCAUAUAUUCAGUCAAAUCACAACCACUAAGUGUACGUAAAAGCACACUUGCCUAAACAAUGUUCAAGUCUCAAGUGAACUCAGCCUAGUCAGUUUCCGGCAGUUCAAGUAGUUCAAAUCCCAACACUUACAAAUCGGGUGGUGCCAUCCUUAAUCAAACAAGAAGACUAGAUGAAGGUUGCAAAAUCAAAAAUUUUCUCAACAAUCCAGCCACCACCAUAAUGUAUCAAAACCCAAGCCAACACUUAUUGGACAAGUCCAAGUCAUUAUUUCAAUUUCCUCAUUCAGUUAAGUCUUGAGUACAAGACAAAAUCUUCUGCGCUCUAACCUGUGCCAUUACAACUUAUCUCAAACUCAAUCAUAAUUUCUAUUCACAUCAUCGUACGUUAAACCAUAUUCCGUCUAAAAUUCACGAGCAUUUCCUCAGGAAAAAUAUCAGGUACACAAGUACAAGAAUUCAAACUAAGAAACUUCACGACUCAGACCAUAUGGUUUUAAACGAAGCUCAUCAAGUCAUAUCUUACGUGUACCAUUUUCAAGAGUCACAACUGACGCUCCAAAAGAGCACUGAACGUACAAACCAAUCCCACAGUCCGGCAUCCUAAACUUUAAGCCUAGGAUACACUACAAAGAUCUGAAGCCUAAGCUCUGAUACCAUUUGUAACGACCCCACCUCCCCCUAAGGCGAACCAAAGGGUUUAGCGGACCGCCUGCCCAGCUCUCGCCGGGACUCACUCACUUACUACAUUUCUCAAGUAAAUUACAAGGUACAACUCAAAUAAUACAUCCAAUUCUCCAAAAUUACAUAUCAUAAGCGAAGCGGAAACUAGUUCUAAGCGUAAAAUGUAGAUUUACAUCCGAUUCAAUUCCAAAUAUUUAUACAAGCCCAAAAGUACACAAACCAAAACUAAAACUAAACUAUACAAGAUGUACGCCAUCCAGCCACACAAAGAUCCAAAAACAAGUUCUUCCUUUACUUCGAUCCCUGUGGGGAGAAGAAGAUAAUAGGGGGUGAGCUAGAAGCUCAGCGAGUGACCAGUAAAAUCAACAGCCAAGUAUAUUUCACAAUAAAGCAUUGAUAUGAUGUCAUGAUGCAGUAAUCAAAUGUUCAUUUAUUGCUCAUGUGAGCCAGUGAAGUUCUUGUACUUAAAUAUCCAAUGCUCGUUUAGAUCAGGUAACCAUGAAACAGAAGUAAGGAGCCAUCGUACUCCAAAGAAUGUGUAAACAAUAGUGGAGACAUUGGUUCUAAGCACAAGACUUUCCAGGAACUCAUUGGAGCCAAAUUAUGUCAUGGCAUACACCCAAACCCAAAUGAUAUGCAAUGGAGUAAUAAAUGUAGGAAUUAGUUCAAAAGUAACUUUGGAAAUAGUUGAGGGAUCACUCACUCAAACUAUAGUGCCUGAAGUAGUCACGUUCAAUUAUACUCCAGAUUUGGAGUCCAGAUCUGCGAUAAAAAUCCGAUUUGAGAACUUUGAAACACGAAUAAGAUUUGAAACUUAAACGUUCCGUUCAUAAGAAUCAACCAAUUGAAAUUCAUUUGAAAGGCAUUCGUGAAACACUUGCUCGCUUUUCAAAUCAUAAGGUUUUUGUAGCAUAUAUACUUGGAAACAAUACUUGAGUUGAAAGUACAAGGAAAUACAAGUUUACAUUGGUCAUUAUAUCUUUUCCUCAAGAGUAGAAGUUCGUUUAGGUUUUUAACGUAUAACCAUCGAUAACAAAGUAGCAAAAGUUCUCGCUAGUUCAAGUGGUAAUCACUUAACCUUCACUCAAGUUGCAAAUAUAAUUUUCUAGUUCUCGAGUAAAAAUUCGGGCAGCAUGCCCUUUGUGUUUACCUAAUUUUCCAGCCAUUUAGGCUUCAUUAUUUUUCCUCAACCAAAACCCAACAUCACAUAUAUCAGCAAUUCAUGUCAAGAGCCGUUCCAUAGGCUCACAAUAUCAUAAGAUCAAGAUUCACAAUAAUAGCAAGUGCAGAAAUUCAAUUUAGCAAAAGACAGCUUUGACGUAUGGAUGUGGAAAUAACAUAUCCGAGGCUACGCUUAUCGGAUUGAGGUGCAACCUAUGCCGUUUCGAAGCUAAGACUCAGGGCUACAAUGUUCAUGAAGGUCACUUAGUCCAGUUUCUAAUGUAACUUAGAAAAAUCCUCAAAUUACAGAACCAAAAUCCACUUUGUCGGCUGUUUAACCGCAUUACACUGUAAUGGACAUAUCUCAGGCUACAAAAGUCCAAUUCUGGUGUUCUUAGAGGAAUUUGAAAGCUAAGUCAGAAUACUACAACUUUCAUGUUUUGGUAAAAAGCUAAAUCAGUACGAAUACUAGUCAAAAAAUAUGAUAAACGGGACAAACUGAUCACACGGACUGCUGGGGAAAAACUUAAAACAGUAAGGGUAUUUUGGACUUUUCAUGACCUACGUUACUCCUAUUGAGCUGAAAUUUUGUAGGCACCUAUAAAAUACCAUUAUCUACAACUUUCAUUCUUUGACCUAAGGCCAAUUCGGCCUCUAACAUAGGGUUACAAAUUCGGACAGAAUGUUGGGGAAAAUUUUCCAGAUUCUGGAAUUUUUUGUAAUCAAUGGAACUUUCUCAAUUUUCUUGUUCUAAUCACUACCAAAGCCCCUUAUAAAACCUCAAUUUCAAUAUAUAUAUAUCAUACAUCAAAUUGGGCAGAAAUUCCCCAAGCCCUAGUUCAUCAUAUAAAAGGGGAAAACCUUCAAAUUCAUCACACCCACUUGCAUAAUCAUGAAAUCAAACCAAAACUUAAGCUAAAAACACAUCUUAAAGCAAGAUUCAAAGCAACAAAGAUCAUGAUCAAAUGUUGGUACCUCAAAAACAAGGCUUGGUAGAGUGAUCCUUCACCCCCUUUGAUAUUUCUUGGUUACUCAAGCUUCCUAACUCACAAGCUACCCUUUAAUCGGUUUGGAUUUGGAUUUGUUAUUUGGGUUGAAGCAAAUCAAGAAGAUGGAAUUGUUUUCCUUUGGUGUUUUUCUCUCUUGUCUCUCUCGGCCAAGCAGCAGCAAAAAUGAAGGGGAAAGUUGUAAAAUUUGGAGUUAAAUGGAAAGACCAAAUCUUGGUCAAGAAGCUCUAAGGUCAAACCCCUCCGGUAAAAUAAGAACAGCCCCUACAUUCAAACCCCCCUUUUUACCAUUAGCAAGAACUUGUUUUAGUUGCUUAUCAUAAGGAAUUCGAACAACUGCUUCAAAUACAGUAUCAGGAAGUACCGCCUGUGGAACCUCAAUAUCUACGGGCUUAUUAGCUAAAUGGCAAUUGGCACAUACAAUACGCCCAGUUGCUUCGCGUGGAUUUUCAUAACCCUGUUGUGCGAAAAUGGGAUAUGCAUUUGAAACGGCUGUUCGAGUUAUGAUAUAUAUCAUGAGAGAUACAGAAAUAGAUCGAGUAAUCUGUUCCUUUAUCCAAGAAAAAAUAUUUCUAGUUUCCAUGGUCCAAUCGUUGAUCCCAAAAUUUCUACAAUAGACAAUAAGUGGGGUAAGUCGCUAGUAUAGUUCCCUAUCCACGAUUCUGCUAGUUACUGGAAUAAAUUUAAUGGAAUAAUAUUUUACUGGAAUAUAAUUAUAGGAUGAAUCCCCCCAGAUGGGUCGAAAUAGAAAGCGUAAGUAGGACUUGCAAUGUUUUGUUUAUGUACAACUACAAAGUAACAAAGGUUCUGGUUGGAUUAGAUUAAUAUCAGUGGAUCUUUUAUCAGUCAUUCAUUGAAUGAUAAAUAACUACAAGCGAAGGAGAUACACGAUUUAAAUAACAGAAAAUCCAAUAUUUAAAAAUUGUAUCAAGAAUGACUGGAAAAGUGGAAACAAGACCAGAUAUAAUUUGAUCAUUAUGAACAAAUCCAAGAUCUUUGUAGACAGAGCCAACCAUUAGUUCCCAACCAUGAGGUGAAU